AUUAACCUCAGAUGAUCCUACUGCUCAAGUCGGGGCGUCAAAGUUGAUCAAGAUAGACGACUCGUUCUAUACCAGCUGUCCGGACGGCAUGGUACUGGAGUGUAUACUCAUUGGAUUCGCCCCUUUUUGCAAGUGCGUGCCUAAAAAGGGUGCCGGCCUCACCGAUGGAUCCAUGCUUCCGAGCGACGGCAGAGGUUCGUGGCCGUGUUUGAAUGAAGGGAAAAUCUAACUAGCCGCGCCGUAUUUCAUGCUUACCGUGCGGCGGCUUGUCCUCAUGCGCGUAUCGCACGCACGACCAGUGAGCCAGCGCAACCGCACACUCCUCAACGCACUGUUGCUAUAGUACACCGCUACUUUCCACGGAAAACGUUCGUACUACCACAGAAUGUGUGAUCACUGUGCCCCAGAAAACAUCAGUGUUUGGCAAAGUACGCAUCGGCAUGGCUCUUUACAGUCAUCAUGUUUUUGCGGUAAGCAUGUUUAAUCCUUGCGACAGUGCUUUUUUCCAACAAAUCCACGUUGUUCUAUACAUCUCUAAAAUAUAAUGUUGACUAGUAAAUAAAUUCCAAUCUAAAAUAUACAACUAAGCACGAAACUAAGCUUCAAAAAUAGACAACUAAGUACUUGUAAUUUGGGCAACUAAAACAUAUUUAAUGACAACUAAGUAAUUUAAAUAUGACAACUAAAUAUGGUUAAAAUCUGGCAGCUAAGUCCGCAACCUAAAAUAUUCAUAUUGAAUACCAAGUACUUGUAAUCUGAUAAGUAUUUUAUAAUCUAGCAAAACAAGUACUAUUUGGUGGCUGCGCGUAAGCACCCCUGCAUCACAUGACGAGAUUUAUGAGACAACACGAUAAUUAGGUAGAAUUAAAAUAACAAGCUACUUAUUUUAAUCUGGAAACUAAGUAUUUUUCUAGCAUGGCAACUAAAAACUUUUUAAUCUGGAAACUAGGUAUUUUUGGCAACUAAGAACUCUUUAAUCUGAAAACAAGCUACUUUCUACAUGGCAAUUAAGAACUUUUUAAUCUGGAAAGUAGGUUUCUUUCUACCAUGGCAACUGAGAGCUUUUUAAUCUGAAACUUAGGUUUCUUUUCUACCAUGGCAACUGAGAACUUUUUAAUCUGAAACUUAGGUUUCUUUUCUACCAUGGCAACUAAGAACCUUUUUAAGCUGGAAACUACGUAUUUUUUCUAGCAUGGCAACUAAGACUUUUUAUCUAGAAACUACGUGCUUUUUCUAGCUUGGCGACUACGAACCUUUUAAGCUGGAAAUUAAGCGUUCUUCUAGCAUGGUAACUAAGUACUUCUAAGCAUUUUUUUUAGCAUGAUAACUAAGAAUGGGUAGUUUGGAGACUAAGCAUUUGCACGGUAAGUAAACACCUCUAAUCUGGAAACUAGGCACAUUUUAGCAUGUCAACUAAGCUCUUCUUGUAAUCUAGAAACUGAGCAAUUUUUAGCUUGGCAAUUAAUCACUUUUUCUUCCUUCAUUUUUUCACACUGACAGUGGUUAUAAGAUGCGUUGUCUAAUGAGAAAUUUGAUGUUUCUUUGGACAAAAGAAGCAGGUGCGAACGGUGAAAACGACAUGGCCAGUCUAGGAUAGAAUAAACGAGGAGCCAUGCAUGCAUGCGCUGUCAGCCUAGCAAGACGCGUACCAUACUUUUUCUCUGUUUGCAUGUGAGUAGCAUUUGGCUACCGGGCCGCCGCACGAGAACGCAAACAUGCGGCGCGUCCUUGAAUGAAACGCAUGCCAUUGUUGUUCAAAAAUACUCUUGAUUUUUCAACUCCCGCUGUUUUAAAUAUAAGUAUUUUUUUAAAUAUUUAUUCUGUAUCUAAAUAAUUGUAGUUGGAGAGGACUAGUUUUUUCCAACUAUAAUUCUCUAGGUACAGAGGGAGUAUUACGCUAAAGACUAUUUUUUCUAGUAUAAUUCUUCCCAACUACUAUUUUUUAGGUACAUAAAGGAUACAUAGAAAGCAAAAUAAACGAAUUUACACUCUAAAAUAUAUUUACAUAUGUCCAUAUAUGAUAUGUAAUGGAACCUUUUAAAAAACUUAUAUUUAGAAACGAAUGGAGUAACUAAUAUGCUACGUGGGUAGACUAACCGUGUGCAUGAUUAACCUCAGGUGAUCCUGCUGAUCAAGUCGGGGCGUCAAAGUUGAUCAACAUAGAGGACUCAUUCUAUACCCCCUGUCCGGACGGCAUGGUACAGAAGUGUAUAUUCGUUGGAACCACCCCUUUUUGCGGGUGCGUGCCUAAAAAGGGUGCCGGCCUCACUGAUGGAUCCAUGUCGUCGACGGCGAACAAGCCGGGGAACAAGGACUAGGACGAUGUCGACGUGGGCGCCGGUAACUAGCUAGCAUUUGCGCCCGUACGUGUGCCAUAUACCAUACGUCAAGCAAUGGUAAUAAGGUCCAGCACAUAUGGUAGCAUGGACACCCUUCCCGUCUUAUUGUACUACUAGCUUGUACACAUGUGCGUUUAUAUACAUGUUGUAUUUUUUAGCUCCUGUGUAUGCAUGCUUUUAUACACACAGAUGUACGGAGUAGGAUAUAACCUCCGUUUUAUAUUACUUAUAAUGGAAUAAUGGUUAAUUACUACGCACGGCCACCCUUUUUUAGCCAGUCACUCCAUUGAUUUCAUUCCAUGUCAUCGUCUGCCGACGGAACAACCUCCGUUGGCAUAGUUUGUUUGCUAAAGAAAAAUGCAGAACAAAUACAGCAUGCCAACGUCCCCAAAGUUCGCUCUCAACGAUGCAGAACAUACGAGCCGUUCCAUGUGAAAUUUCUACGGUAUUUAUCCUUCCAACUUAUGAAACAGACGUUGCAUAUCUUGGCAGCAUAAACUCGAACACAAACACAAAACCAUAAGCCACCCACCGCGCACACACCCUGCAGCUACAGAACGACAGCAAGAGUGAAGUCAACUGAACUGGAAACUAUAUAUUUUUUCACCUCACCAAUGAGAGUAAAAUCACUUCAACUGUUAACAGUCCAGUACAUCGGCAAGGCACGCACGAUACAACAACAUGAAUGAUAUCGCCCAGAUUUCUGGCAAUAAUUCCCCUACCAAGAUCACACAAACCUGAUACAUGAAGAACGAACCACGAUUUCCAAAAAUUAGACAGCACCUGCCAGCCACGUCGCCAGCCCCAUCGUCGUUUCUUCUAGGGAAGCAGGGCAGCUCAAGGCAGAUUACAAACAUCAUCAGACUACCAGAGACAGAGAGAGAGUCACUGGCUGGGACUCUGUCGGAAAACUGUACACUGACCAGAGGCAAGAAUCAACGGGAGGCGAAUCGGCGAAUGGCAUUCCCCCCAGCCUCUGUCUCAAGUCUAAAAAAACCGAAGCUAACAGUUGGUCUAACGCUAGUUUAUCAAAUCAAUGGAGAGGCGGCCGCCCAUGCUCGCUGAAGCUGCCUCUUGACCAGUGAGACGGGGAGAGCUUCCUGAUUUGCAGAGGGGCUGAUCUACUCUGGGGUGCUCGUUUUUGUACACGGGCGCCUGUCAACGCUACCGAGUAAGGGUCACCUUCGCGCUCCUGCCUCGCUUCUAUUCGGCCAGAGCUGUACUCCAUGUUUAUGAACGGUGAGGGAUUCCGGUAGUCUAGGCACCCGGAAGCCCCGCUGUUCCACCAGCUACCGCUACCACUGUCAAAGACAAAGCCGCCCUGGAGGUCGUCGUCCGGGUCACAUGAUGAUUCCCUGUGGCUGUAGGAAUCGCCGACGGCCUCCUCCGCGUCAUUGUAAAUCAGCUUCAGUGCCUGGACUACUUCACCCAUGAAUGGCCUCUGUGAUGGAUCACUGUGAACGCACACCGAAGCGAUGGAUGCCACUUUGGCUACGUUGUCGAAAUUGUAGUUGCCAUUCAUAGAAGGGUCGAUCAACCUCUCCAAACCCUCCUUAUUGCCUAGAAGAGGACGAGCCCAAGUAACAAGGUUCUCAGGAUCCAUGUUGUCGGACAUGCCUACGGGCUUCCUUCCUGAUAAAAGCUCCAGCAACACAACCCCAUAACUGUAGACAUCGCUCUUGACAAGAAGAUGCCCUGUCAUGGCAUACUCUGGAGCAACAUACCUGCAUGAUCAAUAGAGAAAUUUUACCUUUUGAAAGCCAAGGAUAAUUAGAAUAUAAUUAAGACAAGCUACUCUUGAGCAAAUUUAUGUACCGAAAUUCAUAUAGCUUUAGAGAAGUGUAAUUCGUGAACAAUCCUACCAAACAUUAUUUAUGGAAGGCAGUAUUAAUCACAAAGAGACAAAUCAUUCGAUCACAGCGUCACAAAAUACCCAAAUAAAGUGCUAUAUAAUCAUUUGUUUUUAUUAAUAAUGUGUAUUGACGAUAUUAUAGGGGCUGGACACAAGCGAAGUUUCUUACCCGAAAGUCCCCAUUACCCUCGUGGAAAUGGGAUUGAUUCCAUUGGUUGCUUCCCUUGCUAAACCAAAAUCAGUAACCUUUGGAGUGAAAUCUUCCUCCAGCAAUAUAUUGCUACCUUUGAAGUCCCGGUGUAUAACAUGAGGGUUUGAAUCUUCAUGUAGGUACGCCAAGCCUCUAGCAGCACCCAAAGCAAUUUUCAUCCUGACAUCCCAGUUCAGCAUGCCCUUAUCCUUAUCAGCACCUAGGCAUACAAAAGAUCAGAUUAACACAAAGAGUCAGCUAAGUCCACACACUCCUAAUCCUGGCUUACAUGUGACAGCGAUAAUUAUGAAGCCAAUUUUGUUUUCUAAGGCAGUGCACUGCUUUCUUUGAGGCAUAUCACUGGAGAAGUUCAGGUGCUAGAUUAGUAACGCUGGUUGAUCUUGUUUCAUCCAUGUAAUUCUCUUCAGCCAUAUCACUAGUGAGAUGCCUUUUGGUAUUCCAUGGAGCCCGGAUUUUCAUAAAGCAAAAAUGGUAUAUUUCAAAGUUUUAAUAAAAUGAAAAUUUUCUACGAGUACAUAUGGAUGUUCUCUGUGUACCUGUAAAAUUUCAUUAAAUAACCCGAUAUAUUGUACACUGCCCAAAAAAGACAAAAAUCCGGAUUAAAAACUAAAAAAUACAAGCCCAUUUUGUUCAUGUAUUUGUCUUUUUUGUAUACAUCACAAACAAAUAUGUAUAUUGAUAAAAAAUAGUAGAGAUACACUCCACAUCUAUAUAUACACUGACAAAAAAACAAACAGAUUUUUUUGGGCUAUAAAAGUUAUAAUAUUUUUUAACUUCUCUUCAUCGUCCUCCCUGGAACCCGUCCUCCAAAGCGAUUUUCUGAACUUUGAAGUACUAUAACUAGAAUAGCAGCUGGUCCUACCAAUCUAUGCUUAGGGAAAAGAAAAUUUGGACCAGCCUCGUCUAGUCAUUCUAUUACAAGAAACUUGAACACUUGGUUAAAUAUUUCCAUUUUGGCUGCUAUGCCUUAAUAUGUACGAAUUUCAUGUCAUUACUUCAAUAGUUAAGACUUGCCAAACAUAGCAUGUGUUACUAAUAUUUAGAACAUACCAUGGAGAUGGGAUUCCACACUUCCAUUUCGUAUAAGCUCGUAAACAAGACACCUUUUUGCACGUUCGGUGCAAAUGCCAAUCAAUUUGACAAGAUUACGAUGGUGCAAUCGACUGAGCAUUUCCACCUCCGCAAUGAACUCGCGGUCACCACUCCUGUCCUCUCUUGUCAGCAUUUUAACAGCAAUCUCGUUUCCAUCAUCCAUGGUCCCAUGAUAAACACGUCCAAACCCACCUUGACCCAAAACUCUUCUUGAACUAAAACCAUCAGUGGCCUUUUCAAGCUGUGCAAGCGAAAAUGUCUUUACCGAUGCUGCACAUGUGGCCACUGUUGAGAGCAUUGACGCUGAUACAGAGCUCACCAUGCUAGUUGACUGAGAUCUGCCACCUGUGUACCACAAAUUAAGUUGUUAGCAUAACUGCCAUUACUAGCAAUUUUUUGUUGUUAUAUAAACGGGGGGUUAUGGUUUUCAAAAGUUCAUGUCGCAUGCAUACAAAGUGACAUUCUUCUUUCGCAAUAGGGGGUAACUAACAAAUAUUAAAAUGGUUAUUUCCAGGCAGCAUUACAUAAGCACAUAGUAUAUGAGAACUCUAGACAAAUUUUUUUUUUUACUAAUUUUGGAUUUAGGCAAAUUUAUAGACAGAACUGCCCAAUUGUUCUGCCUCACUGAUAAGUGCAACUCUGAUUACCAAUAUCUAUGUGGUAAUAGAAAGGGGAAAUAUUAUCCACCGGCAGUGGCGUAGCUGGGGGGGGGGGGGUCCAUGGACCACCCUGAAAUUUAUCUACAGCCUAUAUAUUAUAGCAAAAAAUGAGUAAAAUUUAAUGUGGGUAAUUAAAUACAAAUGGAAGUUUUACUAUUGGACCACCCUGGAUUAUUGAGCUGGCUACGCUACUGUCCACCGGUACAUAAUAUAAAGAUCUCUAUUGCCCACAUGAAGAUGAUCUUAACGUGGUUAAAGGGAGAAGUUCCCUCCCUUAAGGCCUAGUUCGGUUAAUCCUUUCCUGCGGGGAUUGGAGGGGAUUUGCAGGGAUUUUGGCUUGUAGGGGAUUUAAUCCCCCUCAAUCCCCUUCAAAUCCACCUCAACUGAACAAGCCCUAAAUGUACGUUGUCAUGUAGAAACGAGGAACCCUGCAGAGGUUGUGCCUCGAACGCGGGUGGGGUGAGCUCACGGGUGUAUGUGCCUAACCAACCGGACACUACUUGGUUCUCAAGAUGAUCGUAACAGAUUCUUGUAUAAAGCCAUCAAAUGUCCGUGUGUUGCUACAGUGGUAAAAAAACUUAUACUGUAUAUUUAGGGAUGCCUUUAAUUUUACCAUCUUGUGCCAUAUCAAGUCAUUCAUAUCCGCCCCUAACAAGUUGUGCCAAAUCCAACAUGUAAUGUAACCCAAAGGUGAACAGACCGUCACCACAAUUGGCGGCAUAUUUAUGGGAGUAUAGAUACUUUACAUAGUAUCAUGUUUUUUAUGCUUUUAAGUUUUAACUAGCCUAUUUUUGUAAGAAAAAUGAUCAAGGUUGUAUCCAGAAGACCAUCUAAAACAAAAGAAUCAGGAACAAUGCUUUCUUCACUCUUUGGUAACGGGUGUACGUAGGUAAAUUUGAUCUAUCAGGGAAAUAAUUGAAAUAUCAUUUGUGCACAGCCAGCAAGAACCAUCUAUUAAAGGAUUCUAACAUUGCCCAUCAGGUUUUAAAAUAUUUGUACAAUGGUAAAAGUAGUAAUAACAGUAAUAAAUGGCAUACUUAACGACAACAAAAGCUGUCGAUUUUACCAUGUCUUCUUUUAACUGACGGGGUGAUCACAGGGUUCCCAGCCUCAUGAAAACGCUUAAGUUUCUUCCAUUUGACUAUUAAGAUAAUGAGCCCAAUGCAUGCCACAAUUAGUACCAGAGAGGACCCUGCAACUACCACGAUGAUCCAGCUAUCUAAUUUCUUAUUUUGAUGGUGCACAUCUGCGGUUAUAGGAUAUUCUCCAUUUCCUGGAGGACCUGACGUAAGAGAUGACAUAGCUGGUGGUGCAGGUCCCAGCCCUGCAGUGAUAACAUUGCACAUAUAAAUCAUAAAUUCAAGUAACUCACCUAAGAAGCAAAUACUCCACAUAAAUGUUUCUUACCUGGAUAGGUAAUGUUUAUAACCUCGUAAGCUCCAAAAACAGAUGAAUUAAUCUGAACCUUUUUAUUCCAGAACCUAUCCGAUAUUAGGGAUGCAGUAUAGCUAUCAAAAUGCUCUCUUAGUGGCACCAAAUAAAAGGUGACUCUUGUCUUCUGGUCAUCUUCGAUACUUGGAAUAGCAGCCAUAAUCUUCACUUGGCUCUGUUUAAGAAAUGUGCCAGCUGCAACUUCAACUUCCAAUUCUGCCGUGUGCAUGAAUAGUAAAUAUGGAGCUACAGCAAUGUCAACAAUAACACUAAGGGGCAGCACACAGCCACAGGGGGAACCAAUCGGUGUUGAACUCAUGGGCUCGGGGCAAACAGUGCUAGAGCAACCUGCUGAAGGUACAAAAGAAAACUAUUCAACACAAAAAUUUACAACAAAGCAAACAAGCUUAUACUUAGAUCAACAAUUAGUCUGCAUGUCAACAGAAGCAGUACUAAGAAGAAUAGUCCACAGAGGGAUGGAUAAUAUCGGGGAUUAGGUGAAGUAACUCAAGGAUGCAGUAUGAAAUUGUAAACAUAAAUGGCAAACCUUCAGGUGGGAGAGAUAGGGAUGGCGGAGGGGCAUGGUGUGGUCGUCUGUGGUGUUUGUGUGAAUGGACAGCGAUACCUGUAAGAAUAGCAGAUAUUAAAUAACAAAUAGUUUAUUGAAAACUUUAAGCAUGAACUUUUAGCACCGACGUUGUCACGGUUACAUACCAGGAGAUCUUGGAGACAGUACCCCAGGAGAAAAUGCCGGGGAAAUUCGAGGUCCAAACACUCUUGUUUCAGGGGGAUUUGACGGAUGUGGCGCUGGGCUAGGCUGUAUGUUUGCUGGAGAACGGAAGGUAUUAAGUUCACAUUUGACAGAAACGAAUUGCAAAAUCUGAUAAGAGAAAAACCUCUACCUACCAUAUGGCUAGCAUCGUGUUCAGAUUAACAUAUACAGUUUCAAAUGGUUACUUCAAGAAAGCUCAGGCGCACUGUACAAUCAUACAUUUCCAUUUGCGGCCUAUAUAGCCAAUGCCCGUUGGCAGUUUCUGUUUCUAAAAUAAGAGUGUAUGAACUGGAAAGAUAAUAAACCAUUUUCUAGAAGUUUUGUUCUGCGUCUGUAAAUGUUUGAAUUCUGCAUAUAUUCUCAAUUUAUCAUACUUGUGUUUCAAAAUUUUACAUCACAGUGACACUUUUUAUUCCUCGUACAUGGAAACAAAACAUGAAAUGUUUUCUCAGCGCAUGCUGCCGUGCCAUGCAUUUUUUGGAGUUUGGUGAAAGUUAGCAUUUCACUCAAGUUCUAGCGGUUGGUUAGGAGGCACUGGCGUGGGUGAGUUGUGUGUGUAUGGUGGUGUCGCUGGUGUGUGUUCACGUGUGCGUCAUCCUUGUAAUCGCCAAAAAAAUGGCCUCAUGGUCAAGCUAAGAGCACGAGAGACACCAAGUGCAUUAACUACUCCAGAAAGUAACGGCGUUAGUAAUGAACUCUGAGAAUGGCUGCCAAAUUUGUACCCGAACGUGUCCGAUACGUUUUGGCAGAUAUCAGAACGUAUCCAACUAUUCAGGCGUAUCUAACCCCUGAUACGCUAGUUUCCUGCCGUAUCCAUGCAACUUAGCUGCCAAUCAAGAGGGGCCAUCAUACUACACUCAGGUUUUGUCGAUAGUGUCACCGGGGUGGAAGAAUACAACUAUAAAAGGUGGUACCACAGAUUUAGUUAAGAGAAGACCGUCAAGCAUUACUUGCAAGCAAAGCAAGUGUUGGCUGAGUGUUGAGAGACGAUACUACAGGUCGGAUUUGAACUACUUAUAGGCGCGCCUUUCUACCUUAAGGUUUUGUGCCAUGGUCUCUUGGCUGGUUGUGUCACACAGAUGGGCACGCCCCUGUUUUACGCUCACUACAAACAAACGCAAAUUAGACUCUAACAUGCAUUUCCAAUGUUAAUGGAGCACUCCAACAGCAGUGGGAGCACAAACUGUCCACCAGUCCCAUCCCAUCCAUGCCUCCUUGGCACAAGGAACAAGCAGUGGCAGCCAUUGUCACCUGUUACUUUCAGGCAUGAGAAAACAAUGGCAGGCUAAAACCACCUUCCCUCUCACAGAAAAAUAAUGGCAGGCUAAAACACACAGCUCCAGACUCAUGUACCCAGCUCGCCCACACCUUGCUGGAUCCUUCCCCGGGUAGUCAAAACCAUCGACCAUGGCAGAAUCUAGAAAUAACACUGUCCAGAAUACCCUCUGUCCUCUGAUAGACAGCAGAAUUCCCCUAAUAAUAGACGGCGCUCGCACACGGACCGACAGAACCCCCACCCGAACCCCAAUUCCCAGCUUCCCCCAAUCGCCCAGAGCACGCGACAGCAACGUCGCAUCUUGCUGCUGCUUCUGCUGCUGCUAUGUCCGUCGUCCACUCCACAGGCUAGUGACGAGGAGCUGGAAUUCGCACCGAAAAUGCCGCCCCCACGGGCGCAAGCAGCCCCACGCCCUCCCUCCCUCCCUCCCUCCAAACCCCACCCCACCCAACCCAACCCGGAGNNNNNNNNNNNNNNNNNNNNNNNNNNNNNNNNNNNNNNNNNNNNNNNNNNNNNNNNNNNNNNNNNNNNNNNNNNNNNNNNNNNNNNNNNNNNNNNNNNNNCUCGAUCGGCUCGGCCUCAGGCGCGCGUGCGGUGAGGAGUGGCGGUGUGUGUGGCGCGGAGGAGGCUGCUCCUCCUCUCGUAGUGGGGCUGGGAGGAUGUGGUGGACACCGGUGGGUUUGGUUGGUUGCCUCUCGUCGCGCCAACGAGGAGCGGACAUGUCACGCUCACACCAGACAAGUGGCUCCCGAUGUGGCCGCGGCUGGGCUUCUCAAGCAGUCAAGCUCGUGACGGCGACUUCCGGCACGACUCACGAAGACGUGGCGGUGAGCCGGACCGUCAAGCAGCUGCUCCGGUAGCGCCGCACAUGGAGCCCUGCGGUGCUCGGGUCCAUGAACGGCAACCGGCAGCCGUUGCUUUAUUUGCUACUUGCUCCAGUGAUUGAGCACAUAAGCAGAUUAAUCUUCCAUCAGCACUUGCACUUCUAGCAGUGAUUUUACUCCUGUUUUAGACUAUAACCAAUACUUAUAUUUCAGUAUUGUUUUCUGUUGAGUACCAAUGUAUUCGAGAUCUUAAGUUGAUGUAAUAUGUUUCCACGUUUAUCACGUGUCGAGAUUAAUUACGUCCAUUUGCAAUUGAGAUUUUUAAUCUCUUGCAAAGAUAAAUUCAGUACAUCUACAGUACUGAUUUGCGAUUGAAAAUUUUAUUCUUCCGCAAAACAAUCUCAUUGUGGUUGAGAUUAAUCUCUCUCGCGAAACAUAUUAAUUCACCAUGGUUAAUUAUCUUGCAAUUUGAUACAAGAUCAUCUCAUUUAAUAUGAAGUCUAUACAAUUCAAGUUUUUCACUUGAUCAUCAAGUUUGCAACAUCAUUACUAUUCAUUACAAUAGUAGUGUAUAUCUGUAGAGUACAUUGUAUUCCAGAAUAAAUUGUGAUGUAAUAAAUUUCCAUGUUAUUCUAUAUGUCGAGAUUAUUUACAUCUGUUAUUUGCAAUUGAGAUAUUCAAUUUCUUGCAAAUAAAAAUCAAUUCAUUUUAAUUGAGCCAUUGGCUUGAUACGAGCAAGAAUUGAUAUCCAAAUUCUUAGUGUUGUUUUUCAAAUUGAUAUUUUGAGAAUCACAAGGUAGUGUGUAGAUCUACCGCUUUGCAGAUCAUCACCACUACUAUUAAAGCCUGCAUUUUGUCACUUUGACAAUAUGAUUGCUUUACAAAAUGUCCUCCCCACAUAUUUCACUAAGUCAUGACAUAAGGCAUUACGAGUGAGUAUAUACUGAUUUCAUCGGAUUAUACUCCCUAGUGCUGCGAGAUCCACUCCAUUUUGAAGAUUAUCUUCAAAGUGUCAUACUUAGCAAUUUGAGAUUCACGUUAAUGGUCUCAAGAUAACUUCUUGAAAUACUCAUUAAUUUUGCUAAGCUCACUACAACAUUAACCAUGGUAGUCUUUAAUUUACUAACCGUAAAUUAAUUAUCUCUCGUAACUGAUGGCUAGAGAAUUUGAGGCAUUCGCGCCUCAAUAGCCACCACUGCCUUUCCAUGGGCCAAGGAAAUUAUGAUCACUCUUGAGUCUCGUGGGAUAAUGUGUGAAAUCCAAAACUGUAAGAUUUAUCUAUGGUCAGGAUCACACCGCUAACAGAAAAAUGUUGUCUUAUACAUAAUAAGGCGUUAUAUUGGUUCAGGUCUUAGCAUCUGGUUAUUCCGUAUCAACAAUUCCUGGGCACAAUGAACCUCAAGGGCAAAGGCUUGAAGCUCACUUCAACCUUCAACCUGACAUCACUAAUGAUGACGGAUCCUAUGUGCAUGGAGAAUGUGUGGUUCAUUAUGCCUCAACCGACAUGUUUGGAGAUUAUGAGUAGUCUCUCAAUCUCAAUGUACAAAUACAUUUGUAUGUAUUCUAUAUAUCCGACAGUGAAUUUUUGAGAAUCAUCAUGCCUAUAUAUAGAUUUCUACGAGGGUCAAUCUGAUGAAAGAUGAAUUGUGCAUUAUGGACAUAUGCGCCACGGACUCUAUACUCAGGAAAGUCCAAUGUUUUCACUCUCGUUGAGAGAAAGGAGAUAUUUUAAAAUCGCUAGACGUGAUGAGGUAUUUGUUGGCUCAACUUGAGUCAUAUUUACUAUCCCUGUGGGUACUCGAGUAACGUCGGGAUGCUUUAUUGCUUCCCAGAUUUAACUCGUACCCUACUAAACUAUAGAGGUAUCCGUCAAAAUAGUUCCCAUAGCGAAACUUAUGAUGACAGCAACGAAUAUGGCAGGCAAAUUUUUUAUGUAUCAUCUGAAUUGUACUACACAUACGACACAACCCGUAGCACAUGUUGCGUAUGAGAUAGUUUUCCAGAGUAUCUUGUACAUGACAAACUUGGCAUUCUCGCCUUGGUCAUCGAGAUAUUGGGUUGAAAGCGAAAGUAUCACCAAUUCCAAUAGUUUAUGAUUAUUAUGAUGCUAAAUUCUAACAGUAUUUGGAUUUUGUGUGCACUACAUGUGACACAAGGAAGCUAAUUUUAAGGCUCGCGCACCUUAAAGUCUAUGCUGAACCACUCAGACUCCUUGAAUGCAUCAAGUCGAGGUAAGUGGCUCUUCCCAUCCAUUGACUAGACCAUUUAGGUAUUCCAUGGUUCUAAAAGCCAUAUCUAUAUGAUUGUCUCAAGUGUGAUUUAUUCACAUGAAACCAUUGGUGAUGGGAAACGUCGCAUGGGAAACAAAAAAAAAAUUCCUACGCGCACGAAGACCUAUCAUGGUGAUGUUCGACUACGAGAGGGGAUUUCCGAUCUACGUACCCUUGUAGAUCGCACAGCAGAAGCGUUAGUGAACGCGGUUGAUGUAGUGGAACGUCCUCACGUCCCUCGAUCCGCCCCGCAAACCGUCCCACGAACCGUCCCGCGAUCCGUCCCACGAUCUAGUGCCGAACGGAUGGCACCUCCGCGUUCAGCACACGUACAGCUCGACGAUGAUCUCGGCCUUCUUGAUCCAGCAAGAGAGACGGAGAGGNNNNNNNNNNUGAGUUCUCCGACAGCGUGACGGCGCUCCGGAGGUUGGUGGUGAUCUGAUCUCGGCAGGGCUCCGCCCGAGCUCCGCAGAAACGCGAUCUAGAGGUAAAACCGUGGAAGUAUGUGGUCGGGCUGCCUUUGAAAAGUUGUCUCAAAUCAGCCCUAAUUGCUCCAUAUAUAUAGGAGGAGGGAGGGGAGGCUUGCCUUGAGGCUCAAGGAGCCCCAAGGGCUGCGCACCAAGGGGAGGAGGAGUCCUCCUCCAAUCCUAGUCCAACUAGGAUUGGAAAGUGGAGUCCUUCUCUCCUUUCCCACCUCCUUUUUUUUCUUUCUCUUUGAUUUUCUAUCCUUCGCGCAUAGGGUCCUCUUGGGCUGCCCCACCAGCCCACCAAGGGCUGGUGCGCCACUCCCAAGGCCUAUGGGCUUCCCCGGGGUGGGUUGCCCCCCCGGUGAACACCCGGAACCCAUUCGUCAUUCCCGGUAACUCCGAAAACCUUCCGGUAAUCAAAUGAGGUCAUCCUAUAUAUCAAUCUUCGUUUCCGGACCAUUCUGGAAACCCUCGUGACGUCCGUGAUCUCAUCCGGGACUCCGAACAACAUUCGGUAACCAACCAUAUAACUCAAAUACGCAUAAAACAACGUCGAACCUUAAGUGUGCAGAACCUGCGGGUUCGAGAACUAUGUAUACAUGACCCGAGUGACUCCUCGGUCAAUAUCCAAUAGCGGGACCUGGAUGCCCAUAUUGGAUCCUACAUAUUCUACGAAGAUCUUAUCGUUUGAACCUCAGUGCCAAGGAUUCGUAUAAUCCCGUACGCCAUUCCCUUUGUCCUUCGGUAUGUUACUUGCCCGAGAUUCGAUCGUCAGUAUCCGCAUACCUAUUUCAAUCUCGUUUACCAGCAAGUCUCUUUACUCGUUCCGUAAUACAAGAUCCCGCAACUUACACUAAGUUACAUUGCUUGCAAGGCUUGUGUGUGAUGUUGUAUCACCGAGUGGGCCCCGAGAUACCUCUCCAUCACACGGAGUGACAAAUCCCAGUCUUGAUCCAUACUAACUCAACUAACACCUUCGGAGAUACCUGUAGAGCAUCUUUAUAGUCACCCAGUUAUGUUGCGACGUUUGAUACACACAAAGCAUUCCUCCGGUGUCAGUGAGUUAUAUGAUCUCAUGGUCAUAGGAACAAAUACUUGACACGCAGAAAACAGUAGCAACAAAAUGACACGAUCAACAUGCUACGUCUAUUAGUUUGGGUCUAGUCCAUCACGUGAUUCUUCUAAUGACGUGAUCCAGUUAUCAAGCAACAACACCUUGUAUAUAAUCAGAAGACCCUGACUAUCUUUGAUGAACUGGCUAGCCAACUAGGGGCUUGCUAGGGAUAGUGUUUUGUCUAUGUAUCCACACAUGUAUAUAAGUCUUCAUUCAAUACAAUUAUAGCAUGGAUAAUAAACGAUUAUCUUGAUACAGGAAUUAUAAUAAUAACUAUAUUUAUUAUUGCCUCUAGGGCAUAAUUCCAACAGUCUCCCACUUGCACUAGAGUCAAUAAUCUAGCCCUCACAUCACCAUGUGAAUUACAUUGUAAUAAAUCUAACACCCAUACAGUUCUGGUGUCGAUCAUGUUUUGGCCGUGGGAGAGGUUUAGUCAGCGGGUCUCCUACAUUCAGAUCCGUGUGCACUUUGCAUAUAUUUACGUCCUCUUCCUCGACGUAGUCGCGGAUGAGGUUGAAGCGUCGUUUGAUGUGUCUGGUCUUCUUGUGAAACCGUGGUUCCUUUUCUAAGGCAAUGGCACCCGUGUUGUCACAGAACAAGGUUAUUGGAUUCAGUGCGCUUGGCACCACUCCAAGAUCCGUCAUGAACUGCUUCAUCCAGACACCCUCCUUAGCCGCCUCCGACGCAGCCAUGUACUCCGCUUCACAUGUAGAAUCAGCUACGACGCUUUGCUUGGAACUGCACCAGCUUACAGCACCCCCAUUAAGAAUAAAUACGUAUCCGGUCUGCGACUUAGAGUCGUCCGGAUCUGUGUCAAAGCUUGCAUCGACGUAACCCUUUACGGCGAGCUCUUCGUCACCUCCACACACGAGAAACAUCUCCUUAGUCCUUUUCAGGUACUUCAGGAUAUUCUUAACCGCCGUCCAGUGAUUCACUCCUGGAUUACUCUGGAACUUGCCUGCCAUACUUAUGGCCAGGCUAACGUCCGGUCUAGUGCACAACAUUGCAUACGUGAUAGAUCCUAUGGCUGAAGCAUAGGGGACGGUGCUCAUAUGCUCUCUAUCUUUAUCAGUUGCUGGGCACUGAGUCUUACUCAAUCUCGUACCUUGUAAAACUGGAAAGAACCCUUUCUUGGACUGUUCCAUUUUGAACCUUUUCAAAACUUUAUCAAGGUAUGUGCUUUGUGAAAGUCCUAUCAGGCGUUUCGAUCUAUCCCUGUAGAUCUUAAUGCCUAGAAUGUAAGCAGCUUCUCCUAGGUCCUUCAUAGAGAAACUUUUAUUCAAGUAAUCCUUUACGCUCUCCAAAAACUCUACAUUGUUUCCAAUCAGCAAUAUGUCAUCUACAUAUAAUAUCAGAAACGCCACAGAGCUCCCACUCACUUUCUUGUAAAUACAAGAUUCUCCAACCACUUGUAUAAACCCAAAUGCUUUGAUCACCUCAUCAAAGCGUUUGUUCCAACUCCAAGAUGCUUGCACCAGUCCAUAAAUGGAUCGCUGGAGCUUGCACACCUUGUUAGCAUUCUUAGGAUCGACAAAACCUUUGGGUUGCAUCAUAUACAACUCUUCCUUAAGGAAACCGUUAAGGAACGCCGUUUUGACAUCCAUCUGCCAGAUUUCAUAAUCGAAAAAUGCAGCUAUUGCUAACAUGAUUCUGACGGACUUAAGCAUCGCUACGGGUGAGAAUGUCUCAUCGUUGUCAACUCCUUGAACUUGUGAAAAACCUUUUGCCACAAGUCGAGCUUUAUAAACGGUCACAUUGCCGUCAGCGUCCGUCUUCUUCUUAAAGAUCCAUUUGUUCUGAAUAGCCUUGCGGCCCUCAGGUAGUACUUCCAAAGCCCACACUUUGUUUUCAUACAUGGAUCCUAUCUCGGACUUCAUGGCCUCCAGCCAUUUGUUGGAAUCUGGGCCCACCAUUUCUUCUUCAUAAUUUGCAGGUUCAUUGUUGUCUAACAACAUGAUUGACAAAACGGGAUUACGGUACCACUCUGGAGCAGCACGUGGUCUCGUCGACCUGCGUGGUUCGAUAGGAACUUGAACCGGAGUUUCAUGAUCAUCAUCAUUAACUUCCUCCUCAACCGGCGUCGCAACAACAGGGGUUUCCCCUUGCCCUGCGCCACCAUCCAGAGGGAUGAGAGGUUCGACAACCUCAUCAAGUUCUAUCUUCCUCCCACUCAAUUCUCUCGAGAGAAACUCCUUCUCGAGAAAAGCUCCGUUUUUAGCAACAAACACUUUGCCCUCGGAUUUGAGAUAGAAGGUGUACCCAACUGUCUCUUUUGGGUAACCUAUGAAGAUGCACCUUUCCGCUUUGGGUUCCAUCUUUUNNNNNNNNNNNNNNNNNNNNNNNNNNNNNNNNNNNNNNNNNNNNNNNNNNNNNNNNNNNNNNNNNNNNNNNNNNNNNNNNNNNNNNNNNNNNNNNNNNNNAAUGACUUAGGGUUUGUCCUUCCUGAUUGAAAUUAAAAACAGAAAAUGACUUAGGGUUUGUCCUUCCUGAUUGAAAUUAAAAACAGAAAGUAGAUGCUGCUGCCUCCAGGCCCAUCAUUUAUUUGGUUUUGCUGCUGCUCUACAUGUUCCUUUCUUAAUACUUUCAUGUAACGUGCUUACAUGGACAGCAGAAAACAGAUUAGAUCAUAGAUAGGAUUAGGAGGAAGGAACCAUGGACAAGUGGACAACUAGAGGUGAAUCGGGAAGAGGAAGAAAAGAUGGGGUCGCUGCGUACAAACUGUUCGGCAAGGAAGAGUUGGACCAAGCGGCGGUCGAUGAACUAAUUUGCCUCAUGAAUCGAAGUAUACGAUCGAACUGUCGGCGUAGGCCAAAAGUUAGGGUUCGCAACGAUACGACGAGGUCUCAGGUUGUGGGAAUGAAUCCAUUGUGUUCGCUAAUCGCCUAGAAUAGAACGAUCUCCGGCUCAUGAGGUAUCAAUCGCGUCCCCAACACAGGCACAUAGUUGGACCAGUCAGCGCAGGCCUAGGUCGGGGCCCCUUAGACUUCAGGGGGCCCGGGGCGGCCGCCCCUCCCGCCCCCUGAGGGCCGGGCCUAUCCGCUAGGCGAACGAACGAUCCAAACGAACAAAAUUCAAAUAAAAUUCAUAUACGUUUAAAUCUUCCCGUUGGAGUUAUCCUUACGGGCGGGUAGCUAGGGUGCAAACAUACACGACAGUAAUCCAUGGCUGUGACCCACUCCUGGACGAGGCACAAGGAGCAGGCGUGAAUCGGGACCCAUUGCUCUCGACCGACGCGACGGAUAUGCACACACACUCGCACCUAGUAAAAAACAUGUUCCCAGCUCGUAGGCAUGCAUGCAGUUGCCUCCUGCUCUCCUGCUGCAGCGAAGCAACCAACCCAACCCUGUGUCCCUCUCUGCUGCACGCACGCAGCAUGGCCCUGCCUUGUUUAUUGCGACGUGAAGGCGAGCACUGGAGAGUGGAGUCGAGCCAGCCACAAGCCAAAGCGAAGCGAUGCACGCCGCGGAGCGCCACCGGGUAGCAGCCACGCACAACCCGACGCGGCCUCCGCGUUCCCGGCGCGGAGACGCGAGGCGGCGGCCUGGCCUCUCGUGUGUGCUGUGUUGCUUCGGGCGGAAGGCUUUCAAGUUGGCGGCGCCGCGGCAUGGGCACGUGCCCGAGUCCGGUUUCGCUUCCGCUCCGCCAGCCCACUGCUCCGUUGGGUUCCUACUUCCUAGCGAGGUCGACCGAUCGCGAUGGCCGUCGACGUCCAUCGCCACCACACACAAACGUUUGUACGGCCCGGCGCCCGGCGGGCUGACGUUCCCAUGCAAGGCCGACGUGCCGCGCGCCUGCCGACCACGUCUUCUUUUCAACGCGGCGCGUCGGCAUCGCAGCUGCAGCGCGUACCGCGUACUGUGAUGCCACUGGGGUUUAGGGGGGAGGCAGGCUUUAUCCAUUUCGGCCACUACGGGAUAUUCCUUGCAUUUGUUUACUUUGUAAGCAAUUCUAAAUGAAAGGGAAAAAAAAUUGCAAAAAUGAUUGCGCGCAACACUACGUGCACUAAUGUCAUGAUGAUGCAACUAAUGCCCGUAGACAAGAUUUCGUAACCAGACAAUUUCUAUUACUACUAAAAAUCUGUCAAGGUACACUUCAAAAAAAGUAUCUGUCAAGGUAACUCAAUCCUUAUUUUUUCUCUACUCAUGGCUUACUGUAAACCAAAUAUUCCUUGGCUUAACUACCCCUCGAAUUAUUAAGAAACAAACUGUUUACAUGCCUGCUAAUAGUAGUAGCCAGAUCAACGUUUUCUCACCAGUUUUAGUUGUACGAAUUUUGAUGCCUGGUUGAAGGUUCACAUCACUUACUUAAAGAUAGUGAUUUCUCUGCCACUCGAGCUAUAAAACCUUUACAUUUGCAUUAUGUUAUGUUGUCUAUUUCCUUUUCUCGACCAAUUUCUUCACAUGAUUUUUCUCGAAUUUAUCCGACCCACGAUCCAACCUUGGCUUCUAACUCCCGCGACGCCUCUUCCCUUGGUUUUGACACCAUCAUCCUCCCGCCACAGAGGUGUCUCCUGGUCACAAACUUGUCCGCUCCACUAAGAAUUAGUCAACGUCGUCAUUUGCCGACAUGGUUUGCGGCCUGCAUUUUUCGACUUGAAAUCUGCACUCAAUGUUCAUCUAGAUCGGUAUUUUGAUUGGAAUAGUGUUAAUAACUUUCUCUUCUACCAACGGUAGUCACCAGUUCAAUUCGUGGAAUUUUGGUAUUAAUUCUCAUAGCACUUCUCUUACCAUCAAGUGAAACAAAAGACAUAAAUAGUUGUUGUCUAUAGACUAAUAGCUAGCGUGUAUGAGCAAUGUGAGGACGUGUACACUAGCUUGAUGUUAACCUUUCUGUUAGGGAAGCGAUGUAGGAUAAUCAUUAACUUGAAAGUUGUAGUGAAAAAAAGUUCAAUGGUAGACGGGUUUAUUUUCGAACGGGAAUUCCUCAUUCGAUGGUGUUUUUCAUCAUGAUCUGUUUUUAUAAUAAUGUGGACUAGUUGGUUUACUACGCACUAUAGUUGGUGGGAAACCUAGUAGAAACCAAAAAAAAUCUUCACUACCUAUGUAUACCCAUGUAAAAGGGUCACAUCCCGAUCUCACCUCAUUUGUGAUUUUUUUUCCGGAUGUGAUCCUUUUUUUACCGUCACCCGUUAUGGUUGUAGGCAUACACACAUCCUACUGUCACUCAUUCUGGCGGUAGGGGUCGGGCCAACGCAUAUGACACUUUGGGAUCAACGGGGUCAAAUGACGCCACCUCCACUGACCUCACCCUUACCGCCACUUCGUGUGGCGAUAGGAAAAAAAAGCCAGUCAGAUCAGGCUAAAGUUAGCAAAAAGGGUCAAAAUCGUGAAUUUGGCCCCUAUAGGAGAGAUAAUUUUAAAUACAAAUGUUUAUAUAUUACUAACAUUUUCGCAUGAGGUUCUCCACUUCCAAUGGUUUUUUCCAACUUGAUUGGUACCUUCAUUGCAAACCAGCUUUUAGGUCCAAUGUUGUUCUCCUCUUAGCAUGACUAAGUUGAUUUGUUGUGCAUGUGUAAGACUGUGUUUGGUUCAACUUAGGGGCCAGCUUUUAGGUCCAAUGUUGUUCUCCUCUUAGCAUGACUUAAGGUAAUAUGCUUAAGUUGAUUUGUUGUGCAUGUGUAAGGUUGUGUUUGGUUCAACUUAGGGGCCAGCUUUUAGGUCCAAAAGCUAAAAUCUGAACCACACGUGUUUUCCAUCGGACUAACUUCGUAAGAAACUGCGGAUUCUCUCUCCGUAAAUUUCGUAGCUAGCCCAACCCAACUUUCCCAACUUGAAAACCAACCCAAAUAAUUGUCCCGAGGAAGUUGGGUAUUAUUUACCCACGUUUGGCACUCUGAAGUGAAGGUAACCCUUCGAUCUAUUCUCCCACGACCCGUCACUCAAUGAACAGACAGAGCCGCGAGCCGCUCCGGGAGAUGCUCUCCUCGCUAGGGUUCGCCGCCACCAGCAACUACAGCCGGCCUCUGGCGAUCCUCCGACCCCCACUGUCGCCCGAAGCUUCAUUUUCAUCCGAGGUAAUACCUUUGUCCCUCUCCUCCCUCUUUCCUCCCUCCAUCCCCUUCGUCCCUUCCUUCAACCGGUCGUCAUGCGAUCCUCAUCUAGUCGGUCGUCACGCAUCGCGGGAGCACUGCGGGCUUGUCGUUCGGCGCCGUCGGAGCACCGACCCUCGUUCACCCCUACCCCCUCGUCCCCCUUCGUCCCCUUCGUCCCUCCUUUCUCCCCUUCGUCUAUGUCCGUCAACCCUCGUCGAGUCAAUCGUCACGCACCGCCACUACCGACUGGCCAUCCAGCACCAUCGGAGCAACGUCCCUCCUUCACCCCCACCCUACUGCCUCCUCCCUCCUUCAUAUGUCCUCCCUCUCUCUAUUCCAGAAUGAUCCAGAUCUGGGCCUCCCUUGUUUUCUUAAUUAUUGGAUGAGUAUGUUAUGUAGUAUGGCUAUUUUGUGAGUAUGUAGAUGGUUACUUGAUGGUAUUGCUGCAUAUUGUUUGUCAUAUUGGUUAGUAUUGUUGAACUAUGGGUUUUUUUUUGUUAAUAUUGGUGCAUAUUAUCGGGGAACGUUGCAUGGGAAACAAAAAAUUCCCUACGCACACGAAGACCUAUCAUGAUGAUGAUCAUCUACGAGAGGGAGAUCAGAUCCACAUAACCUUGUAGAAUGCUAAGUGGAAGCGUAUAUAAUGCGGUUGAUGUAGUGGAACAUCUUCGCGAUCCAAAUCACAACCCGUCCCACGAUAUCAUCACGAUCCGUCCCGCGAUCCCAUCACGAUCCAUGCCGAUCUAGUGCCGAACGGACGACACCUCCGCGUUCAACACACGUAUAGCUCGAUGACGAUCCCGGCCUUCUUGAUACAGCAAGAGGGGCAGAGAAGUAGAUGAGUUCUCCAGCACGUCGUGGUGGUGGUGAUGGUGAACUAAUUCAGCAGGGCUUCACCUAGUGCUCCCUUGUACAAGUGGAAUGGUGUGAAUGUGCCUCAAAUUUGGAAAGAGGUCAUCCCAAAAAUAAGGAAGAUAACAGCCAACAAGUGGCCUAGUGCUCCCUUGAACAAAAACAAGAAGUGGAAAUGGCGGCUUGACAACAACUCCGUGUGAGGUAAGCAAAAGCAAUAAAACGCAAGCACUUUUUUUUAACUAUGGAAGCUUUUGCUUGUGUGUUGAGUUAUGUAAGAGUUUUCAACUUUUCUUUUCUGUUGACUAAUUAUUAUUUAACCUGAGGACCAAUUAUUCUGUAACCUGACAACUAAGUAGUACAUAAUCUGGAAACUAAGGAUUAUAUAAACUGGUAGCUAAGUACUUUCAUCUACAACUAUCUUUUAACAACAUGAUAAUUAAGAUGUAGCAACUAAGUACUUCCAUCUGAGAACCUGAUAAUUAGUUAUCUGACAACUAUCUUUUUUAAUCAAAAUAACUAAGUAAUUGCAUUCUGGCAACGACUCCCUUUGUAUCAAUACAAUAACAAGCUAGUACUAACCUUUUUUUAAAACUACAGCAGGCCGCUUUCACUGUAGUUAGCUAUGCAUGAGACAAGAGGCAUGCGUUUCACUGUAGUUAAUUAUGCAUGGGACAGGAGGCAUGCGUUGCGAGGCUCUGACAGAGUGGCUAGCCGCUGCAUCGCACGCAUGCUACGCAACUAUUUUAGAAACCGCCGCACGAAACACAUACGUUUUUAGUUGUCGGAUUAUAGUGUACUUACUUGCCAGUUCUAAAAAAAUUCAGUUUUGCCAAAUACAUGUGCUCAAAUUCUGGCAAGAGAUGGUUUUCAUUUAGGAAACUAAGUAUUAAAAAUGCUUCAAUCAGAUUUUUUUAAAACCUAGCAGCCAAACGAUUGUAUUUUAAAUUAAACGACUUAGUAUAACCUUUACACAUAAACUGAGGGGAAUACAAGAAAGUUACAUAUCACACAAAAGAGACACACAUAUAUAAAAUAGCACCAAGAACGACAUUAGCACCCCUCGCAGAACAUAGAGCAUUCAGAAUUACAUAUAUAAAUAGCUUCCAGAAUUUUAUAUAUAAAUCCAACAUUACACAAUACAUCCAGGAAAACAUCUCAUCUUCAGUUUGGAAGGGGGGCGGGUUUGUCCCUCGUCGAGCAUGUCCUCACAUCAUGUGUGAUUGAUCCAGAGAGCCGACAGGUCUUUUUUUCUUUCUUGCCAAUGUUCAAUGGGUGCUGGAAUGUCUUCUUCCUCUUGCGCCCUUUGUGUUUGACUUUUUUGGGUCACGAAGGAUAGGAUCAUGAGCAACUACAUGUGAAGAAUGGUGCUGGUUGUUCGAGCCACGAAACAGGGUAGAAGUAGCAUUUGUAGCAACAACCAUUGGCCAAGCAGACACACUCAAAACACUCAUGGAUGCACUUUGGCUUUGAAUUUGGGGGUCAGAAGCAGCUGCAUGGGGAGAGUGGGCUUGGUUGUUUGAGCGAGGACCGGCUUGGACAAUAUAGAUACUUGGACCAACAAUGUUCAACAUAACCGACGCACUAGCUGCAGCCGCCAAAGCACUUCGGGCAGAAUAUGCACCUAGAGUAGCAGACCCUAUAGCAGCAGACUUUGACAUAGUUGUUGUACUCCCAGCUACCGUUGUAGCACCGUGGCAUAUAAUGUUUGGCUCAGCAAGAACUACAUAGGAUGAACGGACUUUAUUGUUGGAAGCACCAACUUGGGCAGAAUAUACACCAGGAGCAUCAGGAUUUGGCAUAAAUGGUGCACUCACAGCAGCCACCGAAGCACUUCGGCCCUGAGUGGUUGGCUCGAAAGUAGCUGCAUACAAACAAUGACCUUGGUUGUUGGAGACGUGAACUUGGGCAGAAUAGGCACGUGGAGCAGCAUAUUUUGACAUAGAUGGUGCACUCGCAACAGUUGCUGAAGAAUCUGGAGCAACAUCAACCAUUGAUCCUCUUUUCGUUUGUUCUUUCGCAAGUGCAGCAAGCUCCCUCUUCAUAUCCUUUAAGUGUGUACCUAUUAUCUUCGACCAUCAGUUGUGCGGCACCCAACUUUAGCAAGUGAGGCAAACUCAUUCUUCAUGAGGGUUGUUUUCAUCAGAAUCACUGACUCCUCAGGCAUCUCAUGCACUUUGCCACGGACUUGUGACGACAUAUCAACGAGCAUUUCCUCCAUAAGCCAUGUCCAUCUCUUGAGUAUGUAUGUUGCUGGCAACGUGGUAACACCAAGAUGGACCAUGACCUGCAUCGUACAAGUAAAUAAUACAUUAGUCAUGGAAAGAAAAAGACAGAUAUUUUGAGUCAUUCAAUUAUGCAUUUGGAGAACCCAGCAACCCCCAAAAUCUGCGAAGUAGGAAAAGAAGUGGAGAACAUGACAAUUAUGAAUACAAAAGCCAGCAAGUCCGCAAAAUAGGAAUAUGGAAAUGUGUUGGAAAUAUGCCCUAGAGGCAAUGAUAAAUACUUAUUAUUACAUUUCCAGUUACAAAGAUAAUCGUUUAUUAUCCAUGUUAUAAUUGUAUUGAAUGAAAACAUAGAUACAUGUGUGGAUACAUAGACAAAACAAUAUCCCUAGCAAGCCUCUAGUUGGCUAGCCAGUCGAUCAAUGAUAGUCAAGAUUUUCUGACUAUGUGCAAGUGUUGUCACUUGAUAACUGGAUCACAUCAUUAGGAGAAUCAUGUGAUGGACUAGACCCAAACUAUGAACGUAGCAUAUUGAUCGUGUCGUUUUAUUGCUAUUGUUUUCUGCGUGUCAAGUAUUUGUUCCUAUGACAAUGAGAUCAUAUAACUGACUGGCACCGGAGGAAUACCUUGUGUGCAUCAAACGUCGCAACGUAACUGGGUGACUAUAAAGGUGCUCUACAGGUAUCUCCGAAGGUGUCCAUUGAGUUAGUAUGGAUCAAGACUAGGAUUUGUCACUCCGUGUGACGGAGAGGUAUCUCGGGGCCCACUCGGUAAUACAACACAACACACAAGCCUUGCAAGCAAUGUGAUUAAGUGUAAGUCACGGGAUCUUCUUUACGGAACGAGUAAAGAGACUUGACGGUAACGAGAUUGAAAUAGGUAUGCGAAUACCGACGAUCGACCCUCGGGCAAGUAACAUACCGAAGGACAAAGGAAAUGACAUACGGGAUUAUAUGAAUCAUUGACACUGAGGUUCAAUCGAUAAGAUCUUUGGAGAAUAUGUAGGAUCCAAUAUGAGCAUCCAGGUCCCGCUAUUGGAUAUUGACCGAGGAGUGUCUCGGGUCAUGUCUACAUAGUUCUCGAACCCGCAGGGUCUGCACACUUAAGGUUCGAUGAUGUUUUAGUAUAGUUGAGUUAUAUGUGUGGUUACCGAAUGUUGUUCGGAGGCCCGGAUGAGAUCACGGACGUCACGAGGGUUUUCCAGAAUGGUCCGAAAACGAAGAUUGAUAUAUAGGAUGGUUUCAUUUGGUCAUCGGAAAGUUUCGGGCAAUUCCGGCAGUGUACACGGAGUGACGAAUGUGUUCCGGGUGUUUACCGGGAGGGGCCCACCCACCCGGGAGUGAGCCCAAGGCCCUAGGGUGGCGCACCAAGCCCCUAGUGGGCUGGUGGAGUCAGCCCAAGAGGGCUAUGUCGCCACAUAAGAAAAUACCAAAAGAAAAGAAGAAAAAAAGGAAAGAGGGAGGUGGGAAGGAAGAGGAGGACUCCUCCUUCCCAAAUCAAAUUGGAGGAGUCCUCCUCCUCCUGGCGUCCGGCGCACCUGGAGGCCCUUGUGCCUCAAGGCUUGCCCCUCUCCUCCUCCUAUAUAUAUAUUGGUAGUUUAGGGCUUUUUGAGACACAACUUUACCACAUGCAACUCAAGGCUAUUCCACAUAGUUUUAACUCUAGAUCGGAUUUCUGCGGAGCUCGGGCGGAGCCUUGCAAGAGUAGAUCGUCACCACCACCGGAGCGCCGUCACGCUGUCGGAGAACUCAUCUACUUCUCCGUCUUGCUUGCUGGAUCAAGAAGGCCAAGAUCAUCGUUGAGCUGUACGUGUGCUGAACGCGGAGGUGUCGUCCGUUCGGCGCUAGAUCGAAACGGAUAGUGGGACGGAUCGCGAGACGGUUCGUGGGACGGAUCCUGGGGCGGUUCGAGGGACGUGAAGACGUUCCACUAUAUCAACCGCGUUUCUUAACGCUUCCUGCUGAGCGAUCUACAAGGGUAUGUAGAUCUAAUCUCCACUCGUAGAUGGACAUCACCAUGAUAGGUAUCCGUAUGCGUAGGAAUUUUUUUGUUUCUCAUGCAACGUUCCCCAACAGUGGCAUCAUGAGCUAGGUUGAUGCGUAGAUGUUAUCUCGAGUAGAACACAAAAGGUUUUUUGGACGGUGAAGUUCGAUUUGCUGCCCUCCUUAGUCUUUUCUCGAUUCGGCGGUAUUGUUGGAUUGAAGCGGCCCGGACCGACAUAACUCGUACGCUUACGAGAGACUGGUUUCAUCGAUUGACAUGCAACCUCGUUGCAUAAAGAUGACUGGUGGGUGUCGGUUUCUUCAACUUUAUUUGAAUUGGUUUUUGACCGAGGCCGUCCUUGGAGAGAGGUUAAAUAGCAAUUUGCACAUCUCCGUUGUGGUUUUUGCGUAAGUAAGAUGCGAUCAUACUAGAUACCCAUAGCAGCCACAUAAAAUAUGCAACAACAAAUUAGAGGACGUCUAACUUGUUUUUGCAGGGUAUGCUUGUGAUAUGAUAUGGCCAAUGACGUGAUGUGAUAUAUUGGAUGUAUGAGAUCAUCAUGUUGUAAUAGUUAAUAUUGACUUGCACGUCGAUGCUACGACAACCGGCAGGAGCCAUAGGGUUGUCUUUAAACUAAUGUUUGUGUUUGCAGAUGCGUUUACUAUAUUUCUAGGUCAUAGCUUUAGUGGUAAUAGCAUAGAUAACACGACAACCUCGAUGGCGACACGUUGAUGGAGAUCAUGAUGAUGGAGAUCAUGGUGUGGCUCCGGUGACAAGAAGAUCAUGACGGUGCUUUGGUGAUGGAGAUCAAGAAGCACAAGAUGAUGGCCAUAUCAUGUCACUUAUGAAUUGCAUGUGAUGUUAAUCCUUUUCUGCACCUGAUUUUGCUUAGAACGACGGUAGCAUUAUGAGGUGAUCUCUCACUAAAAUUUCAAGACGAAAUUGUGUUAUCCCCAACUGUGCACCGUUGCGACAGUUCGUAGUUUCGAGACACCACGUGAUGAUCAGGUGUGAUAGACUCAACGUUCACAUACAACGGGUGCAAAACAGUUGCACACACGGAACACUCGGGUUAAACUUGACGAGCCUAGCAUGUGCAGACAUGGCCUCGGAACACAUGAUACCGAAAGGUCGAGCAUGAAUCAUAUAGUUGAUAUGAUUAGCAUAGAGAUGCUUACCACUGAAACUAUUCUCAACUCACGUGAUGAUCAGACUUGAGUUAGUGAAUUUGGAUCAUGUACCACUCAAAUGACUAGAGAGAUGUACUUUUUGAGUGGGAGUUUAUCAAGUAAUUUGAUUAGUUAAACUCUAAUUAUCUUAAACUUAGUCUAAGUCCACUUUGCAAUAUUUGUGUUGUAGAUCAAUCGCUCACGCAAUAGUCACCCUGAAUUUUAAUACGUUCCUAGAGAAAUCUAAGUUGAAAGAUGAUGGAAGCAACUUUGUAGACUGGGCUCGUAAUCUUAAGUUGCUCCUGCAAGCUUGGAAGAAAGAUUAUGUCCUUAAUGCUGCGCUAGGAGAUGAACUACCCGCUAUGGCUGACCAAGAUGUUAAGAACGCUUGGUUAACAUGUAAGGAGGACUACUGAGUAGUUCAGUGUGCAGUCUUGUAUGGCUUAGAGUCGGGACUUCAACGUUGCUUUGAGCGUCAUGGAGCAUAUGAGAUGUUCCAGGAGUUAAAGUUUAUCUUUCAGAAGAACGCCCGGAUCGAGAGGUAUGAGACCUCCGAUAAAUUCUGUGCUUGCAAGAUGGAGGAGAAUUCGUCUGUCAGUGAACAUGUGCUCAAAAUGUCUGGGUACUCAAACCGUCUAGCUGAACUGGGCAUUGAACUCCCGCAAGAAGCUAUCACUGACAGAAUCCUUCAAUCACUGCCGCCAAGCUAUAAAGGGUUUGUGUUGAACUAGAACAUGCGAGGGAUGAACAAGUCUCCCGGCGAGUUGUUUGCGAUGCUGAAAGUCGCAGAGUCUGAACUCCGUAAAGAGCAUCAAGUGUUGAUGGUGAAUAAGACCACUAGUUUCAAGAGAAACGACAAAGGCACGAAGGGCAAUUCGAAGAAGAGCGGCAAACCUGUUGCCAAUCCGCCGAAGAAACCCAAGGCUGGACCUAAGCCUGAAACAGAGUGCUUCUAUUGCAAGGGUAUGUGUCACUCGAAGCGCAAUUGCCCCAAGUAUCUGGCAGAUAAGAAGGCGGGCAAAGAAAAAUCAGGUAUAUUUGAUAUACAUGUUAUUGAUGUGUACUUAACCGGCUCUCAUAGUAGUGCCUGGGUAUUCGAUACCGGUUCUGUUGCUCAUAUUUGCAACUCGAAGCAGGAACUGCGGAAUAGACGAAGGCUGGCGAAAGACGAAGUGACGAUGCGCGUAGGAAACGGUUCCAAGGUUGAUGCAAUCGCCGUCGGCACAGUGUCACUUCAGCUACCAUCGGGAUUAGUGAUGAACUUAAAUCAUUGUUAUUUAGUGCCUGCGUUGACCAUGAACAUUAUAUCUGGAUCUUGUUUAUUGCAAGACGGUUACUCUUUUAAGUCUGAGAAUAAUGGUUGUUCUAUUUCUGUGAGUAACAUCUUUUAUGGUCAUGCACCGAAUGUGAGAGGAUUGUUCAUAUUGAAUCUUGAUAGCGAUACGCAUAUACAUAACAUUGAGACCAAAAGAGUUAGAGUAAACAAUGAUAGCGCCAUAUUUUUGUGGCACUGCCGUUUAGGUCAUAUUGGUGUAAAGCGCAUGAAGAAACUCCAUGCUGAUGGACUUUUGGAGUCACUUGACUUUGAUUCACUUGACACGUGCGAACCAUGUCUCAUGGGCAAGAUGACUAAAACUCCGUUCUCCGGAACAAUGGAGCAUGCAAGUGACUUGUUGGAAAUCAUACAUACCGAUGUGUGUGGACCAAUGAGCGUAGAGGCACACGGUGGAUAUCGUUAUUUUCUUACCUUCACUGACGAUUUAAGUAGAUAUGGUUAUGUCUACUUGAUGAAGCACAAGUCUGAAACAUUUGAAAAGUUCAAGCAAUUUCAGAGUGAAGUGGAAAAUCAUCGUAACAAGAAGAUCAAGUUCCUACGUUCUGAUUGUGGGGGUGAAUAUCUGAGUUUCGAGUUUGGUGCUCACUUAAGACAAUGUGGAAUUGUUUCACAGUUAACACCGCCNNNNNNNNNNNNNNNNNNNNNNNNNNNNNNNNNNNNNNNNNNNNNNNNNNNNNNNNNNNNNNNNNNNNNNNNNNNNNNNNNNNNNNNNNNNNNNNNNNNNCAGAAGCACGGUGUACUCUACGAUUCUCUUUCUUUGAGUCAUAGGAACGCCCUACUGUUAAGAGGGGACCCGUAGUGGAAAGGUUUGGGUGGAAUCAAUUUUGCAUGCACUCACUUUAUCUUCCUUCCCCUUGCCUGCAACUUUGGAGUAUCUCCCGCCUAUGUGCUUAUCUCAUCUAAGCAAAAGGUCCCCCAGCGGUAGUACCGCUGUGGCUAGCGGUAGUAUCGCUAGCCCUAGCGGUAGUACCGCUAGAGUGCUAGCGGUAGUACCGCUGCCGCCAGCGGUAGUACCGCUAGCUGGCGGUAGUACCGCCCCUGGUGAGCGGUAGUACCACCCCAGAAGCUUAGUACCGCCUUCCUAGUGGUUGUACUUCGACGGACCUUUUUGCGAAGACUUUCUUGGCGGUGGUUGGCCCGGUACUGCUUAUGCACUACCAUGGGCCCAACGGUAGUACCGCUGGAGUGCUAGCGAUAGUACCGCUGGGUCCAGCGGUAGUACCACUAGGCACGGGCCGUGAGUGGGAAAACGGUUGGAUUUUUCCCCUCACUAUAUAAGGGGUUCUUCUAGCUGUGGAACCCCAUCUCUUACCCUUCCAAGCUCCAUUGUUGCUCCCUAAGCUCAAAAGUGCCCGAUCUCUCUCCCUAGCCAAUCAAACUUGUUGAUUCUUUAGGGAUUGGUUGAGAAGGCCUAGAUCCACACUUCCACCAAGAGAAAAGUUGAUUCCCCCACCAAUCCCUUGCGGANNNNNNNNNNAAAACUUGUUGAUUCUCUAGGGAUUGAUUGAGAAUGCCUAGAUCUACACUUCCACCAAGAGAAAAGUUGAUUCCCCCACCAAUCCCUUGCGGANNNNNNNNNNCUAGGGAUUGGUUGAGAAGGCCUAGAUCUACACUUCCACCAAGAGANNNNNNNNNNNNNNNNNNNNNNNNNNNNNNNNNNNNNNNNNNNNNNNNNNNNNNNNNNNNNNNNNNNNNNNNNNNNNNNNNNNNNNNNNNNNNNNNNNNNUCNNNNNNNNNNNNNNNNNNNNNNNNNNNNNNNNNNNNNNNNNNNNNNNNNNNGGCGGCAGGGAGGGUUUGCGUCGGCGAGGCCCGCGGCGAGGGGCGAUGCGAGGGGCGAUGGAGGGUGGGGGCGGGCGAGGGACGCAAUAAAUUGGGGCCGCUGGGGUGGGCUGGCUUCGCUAUGCUGGUUAACCUCGGAAGGAAAAAGGAAAGGGAAGGGAAGGUGUUAAUUCCGGAGUGGAGUUAAUGCGCUCCGCUGCCGCUCGCUCGCUCGCCCUGCUAAUCCUAAUCGCGGGGUUAGUGGAUUAUGAGAUGAUGGAUUACGAAUCCGGCGAGCCGCGCUUUACCGCUGCCCGCUGGGGGAGAAAGAGGGAGGGAGGGAGGAAGAGAGCCGCCGCGGUGGGGCCCCCGUGUCAGCGGCAGCGGCAGACUGUACUGCGGUCGUUUGCUGGAAGCCCGAGCCGGCCGGUGUCAACGCCGGUCAGACGGUCGUCGCCCGCGCGCGCUUGGACGGACACGACACGACGGCAAUUUUUAUCCGGGCCCUGUGGCUUGUGUGGUGCCAAUCUUCGUUUGUUUUUUUACAUGUCUUUGGGGAGGUGUUUGACUGGCCCUUGGCCAUAUCACAGUUACCUCUUCAUUGUUUUCCAUAUGUCCAACCACUAGUAGUAGUUUAUGGAGUGGUGAUAUUGUUUUGUCAACAUGGUUAUCUCUUCAUUGUUUUUUAUAUAGCUAACCACCGGUUUAUCCAGUGGUGAUAAAGCCAGGUUUUGCUUUUGUAUAUCAAAUUUAUGGGUGGGCGGGCAAUUGGGGGUGGAAAUCGGUACCGACGUGUUUUGUUGCUUGCCUUGAAGGCGGGCGGGUGGAGGAGGGAGCAAGGUUGCGGUUAUGGAUUAAAGACUUGGAGCAAGUCCGAUUGAUGUCGGAUAGAUUUAUCGAACGUGCAAAUAUGUUUCAGUAACGACCUUUUAAGGUGGUAUUGAUGGGUUUAUCACUUCUUUGCAGUCUACUUACAUGACUGUACGACGAUACGGGUUGCAUUGUCAUCACGCGUCAUUAAUCUUGUAUCUACAAAGAGCAUCGUUCCAGUUUGUUUGUUUUUUUGGCAGGGGUCGUUGGGGCGAUACCGUUGUUCAGGGAGGUGGUUCCACUAAAGGGAAUAUCCCCCCCAAUAUGCGGAACCAUAUGGGUAACGCCAAUUCGGCCGAGCUACUCGAAUCCUCGCUUGCGUAUCUGCGCAAAUGACGGCACAUGACAUCUCGCAUUGGCAUUCGGUCACCGCCGUGGAGGAAAAAACCAUGCCUUUCUCCCCUCAGCCUCCCACACAUCCAUUCGCGCUCAAAAGUCGUGUUCGUCGCUUACCUUGAGGAAGACGGGUGAGCAGGUGGGGCAGGGGCGAAGUUGCAAUUGCGGGUUGACGACUUGGAGCAUGACUAGUUAAUAUAGGAUAUGUAAAACAUGUGAUGUGGUUUUGUAAGGGCCGACGAUGAGGUUUUGCAACGGUUGACGUGGCAUGAUCGCACGUGUGAAAAGUUGACAAAAUAACAUUAUACUAAAGCAUUAAGUUUGCUUCGUUUUAACGGUCAGACUAAUGUGCUUAGGUAUUACAACAUUUUGAAAGCGAUGUUUUGUAAGAUAAUAGGAAAUCCACAUCAUUAUGAAAAUAUAUCUUAUUCGGACCUGAAUUGGGAUGCAUUUAUUAUUUUCUUUUGAGCCUCUCGCAUCCGUACUUCAGUCGAAGUAACUUGUUUCCAUUUAUACUCAUACCGAUAUACUUCGUACACUAUUUCUAAUGAUAUCUUGUAGCUACUUUUGCGUGUGGUGCAUAUGAAUAAGAACUUGCUCAAGUAUUCUAUGACACGGUCAUAAUUAUAUUCGAUGGGCAAUCUUGUAACUUAUUUUUUAGAGGCUUUAUAACUUUUUGUUGUUUUACAUGAUUUUUCCAUGGAGGUGUUAUUAUUUCAGUCGUCAAAUGCAUCUUCGUUGUAUCCAAAGAUAAAUUGAAUCCAUACAACACUCAGGCGUUAAGUUUGGAAGGUUUGUGAAACAAAAAAGGCACAUGCUUCAUGGAUUUUACUUUGGUUAGGUGGGGGUGCCGAGGGGUAAAUUGGGUUGAAAACGUUUAGAAAAUGGACUACGCUAUACAAGGGAGUGGACACUCAACGGGGGAAAUUGAUACCAAUAUACUCACCCUUUUCUUUUGAACUGGAUGUGUUGUUUGCCUCAACAUUCGUUUUAUGUUGUUUCUUGUGGGCGAACACGAAAGCCUAUUUCGACGAGAAGAGAAGGAGAGAGAGUAGACACACUUAGAAGAUGCAGUUAUAGAUUAACGACUUGAAACAAGUAUGGUCAACAGUGCGGCCUUCCUUGUAUGGUAAUAUGGGUUGCAUUACUAUCAUGCUUAAUUAAUAUUGUCCCUAGCUGAGUAUCGUUGUACUAUCUUUGAUUCUCGAUAUCUAUAAUUUAAUGGUGUCCAUAUUAUUGCAUUAUUUCACAUGAUCACAAUUGUAUUUAGAUGAUUUAAGGUCAUAAAUUUUAUUAAUUGCUUCUCUCACGCAUGGAGAUUCGGUUUUUAGAGAUUGUGACAUCUCCCAAGCAAUAUUCUAUAAGAUACCCACAAUCCGCCUUGAUACAAAAAAAUAGGUAAACGCUUCCAUCCGGUGCGCCUCGCUGGCAAUGCUUGCAACAUUUUUCCGUUAAAUUUGCUGCAACCGUGUGUUUUUCGAAAACAAACGUUUUAAUGCAACUUUUUUUUCGUGUAAAUUUGUUGCAAACAACGUCAUAUUUGCUGCAUAUUCGAUUGGUUGCAACUCCAAUUCGUCGGAUUUUUCGUUACAAUCGAUGUUUUUACUUUUGCUACAACCGUGUUAAUUCUUGCUACAACCGGCAUCAUUUUUUGCUCUAACCGUUUACUAAAAAAGUUACAUACACGUGCACGUAGAUAUUUGUUACAACCGGCGUUUGACUUUUGCUACCAUGCACCAUCAGCUUCGUUUUUUUUGCUACGAUCAUGUAGAUUUUUUUUUUGCUAUAAAUUUUGUUAUUUAUUGCAACCGUUGAAAAAAAUUGCUGCAUUGCAUCGAAUUUUUGCUGCAUCGAAAGAAAAAUAUUGCAUGGAGAUCCAACGGUGCGCACGCGCGGGGGUGGUGGAUCGUGCGGCCGGCGCGCGGCGCGCCGGCGCAGAGCACUGUUAAAAAAAAAUACUAUGUAUGUGCCUCCGUCCCGGAUCUUGAGAGUAAUAACUCGGAUCUGGGUCUUCACCGAUCAUUCUCUCCUACAAAGUUGGAAGACUGCCAGUGUCUUCCUGCGAUCUUCCAUGUGCUUUCAAGGGAUGAUGACACGGUGCGUUGGCCCCACUCCUCUUGAGGCGAAUUUCGGUUAAAUCGUUGUAAGUUAGGUUGAGCUCUGGUUCCCCUUCCUCAAGGUUAAAAUCUAAAGUAUUUAUGGAGCGCGUGUUCCUCAUAAGUCAUAAGAUAUGUAUAUUCCUUUAGCAAGCUGCUAGAGGGAGACUUUGGGCGGCAGACCAAAUUCGCAACGACCUUGGUUAGGAGUUUUGUUCCCCGUGUGGUGCCCUUGAGGAUAUUGACCACAUCAAUCUAAUUUGUGACCUUGCCAAAUUGGCCCAGAGUUGCACCCGGGCGUAGUUGGAUGUAAAUGGAUUCCUACUUCUUUGCCAACGUUGUGGAUGCCUCGGGUGUUUGUUUCAGGUGUUGCCUUGAGGCUUUAUUUGUAAGGUCGUGUGCUCGCCUUUUCUUAAAAAAAAACAGAUAAAAAACAUACUUCUUCCGUUUAAAAAUACUUAUCAUAGAAAUGAAUGUACCUAGAUGUACUUUAGACCGACGCUGUGGGUGCAGUGCUCCACCCAACCAUCGGGUGUGGCCGGGUCCCGGGACACGUACCCCGACGGUACUGCGGCGGUGCAGCCAGCCUGCAUACAGUAGCAGGUAUGUAUGGGUGUACCCAAGGAAAACACAGGUAUAUGUGUGCAGUACUAGACCGUUCGUCCAUUCGGGUAUUACAGGUAAAUCCGUUCUGCGACGAGGAAGAAAAACCGUCUUCCGUUCACACCAACGCAUCGGCGGACGGGGGGAAAAGCUUCGCCUGCUGCCUGCCGCCGAUGACGGUCAAGGGGGCCUGAGCAUGUGGUCCGGUAGAUAUGACACGAUACGUCGAUACCAGAGGUUGCGACGACUUUGGCGCCGGGAAAGCUGCGGCCAGCGGGGCCUCGUGCUGACUCGUGACUCGGCUCCUUUGUCAGGUGGGCCGGGUGAAUCUGAGCCUGGUCCACCUUCGAAAAAACAAACAGCCUGAACCUCUCACGGUGUUGCUUCUUGGAGAGACACGAUUUUGUUUCCAGAGGCACGAUCUUCGCGAGCCGUGCCUCUCGGAAAGAAAAUAAACUCGUUUUUUUUUUUUUAUGAGAAGCACGGUUUUGUUUUCGCGAGAGAUAAGGUUUUGCCUUCGUGAGAGAGUUAUUUUUUCUGUCAGAGGCACGAUUUUGCUUACGUGAGAGGCACAGUUUUGUCUUAAUAAGAGGCACUGUGCCUCUUUGAAAAUUCAAAACGAAAAAGUAUGUUUUCUGUUUUUUUAAUAGGGAGAGGCACGAUUUGUUUGGUCCGUUUUUUUCGUGAAAAAAAAUCUUCAAAACAUAUCAAUAUGGGAUCUAGUUUUGAAGAUCUCGACGCGAGAAAUCCAACGGUGAAAACGAUUCGAGAUUUGGACGCACGGUUUAGAAGAUAAAACGUUUUGAAAAUACGAAUCUACGAAAAAAGGAAAACUCCCCGGUUGCUACAAGUGACAUGCAUGGAGUGUGUCAUUUGUCGCAACCUGGAAGAUGGGAGUGAUCUUUGAAAGAAGCACUCCCUAAUUAGUGAGUUCGGGGAAUCUGUUGAGUUCCUUAGACGCCCGAUCCUCAGAUUUCAAGGGGCGGGGCGAAAAUUAUAACACGGUCCCUCAAGACCAGUGCCCCUCCGAAGGACCAUCUUCCCACAAAGAGUAGACCGAGGGGAACCCCUCGCAUCUACAAUUGGAUCCCUUAAGCCCCCUCAAAAUUCACACACGCGUCACAAACCGGCCUCAAAGGCUCAGGCUCAACGGUACUCCCAAUUUCCAGCCCAAAUAUGGGGCGAAAAUGUAGGAGCCGGGGCGUGCCCGGGCACGCCCGCCACGUCGGCCUGGCGGCUUGGACCCACACGGACUUACCGGGAAACUCGACGGUUCGACACGCGCCUCGACCGUUGGCACGGUGUUAAAGCCACGUGACGCCGCUUCGGGGCCGGGGCCGGCUAUUUAAGCCGACCUGCUCCCCUGGCCCUAACACAUCCGCCUCCUUCCUCUCUCCGCCGCCACCCGAGAACUUUCCUCUUUGAGCCUGUCACCCAUGCCACCACGUCGGCGGCAUUACACGAUCCAGUAUCGUCUCUUCCUUCUUCCGCAGGUCCGAAUCUGAAGGGAUGAAGGGCUACCCAUGGAACUGAAGGUGGAUUUCGGGGAGGGGGAGGAGCCACACGCGCCGGAGGAGGAGGCACCGUCGUAGCAGUCGAAGGAAGAGCGGUCGACGGUGGUCGAUCUGUGGCCGGAGCAGCCAGCCAUCCUCAACUCCAUCCGCUUCCAGUCGGUUGCACUCGCCAGAAGUCUGGUGGAGGAAGCGCGGGCGGCUCACGAGGAGGCAGAUGCGGCAGAGGAGGCGACGCAUGCGGCUCACGCUCCCACGCAGGCCAUCUCCAACGAGGAAAAAGAUCAAUAGUAGUACCUAGGAUAUUCUGCAUGCUUUGUAUGGAUAUGAGGGAUGAAAUAUGAGAAUGUGAAGAAUGAAAUUUGAGACGUGAUCCAUCAGUAUCCGCUAACACGUCCGGACGUGUCCGCGGGCGUUUGAAGGGCCGGAUUUGCAAAGUCCGGAUGUAGAUGCUCUUAGACGAUUAUCGAUGCCGAUGCAUGUCAUGCAUUUUGGGUAAUAAUUUGGAAUAUAUUUUUUAAAAGUCGUAAAACUGUUCAACAUAUUUUAAAAAUGUUCCAACAAAUAUUUCAAAAAUAACUAAUGUGCAAAAAAAGAGCAAAACAUGUAACCCUACACUUUUUCUAUCAAACAUAUGUAUUAAUGUAUAUGUUUUUAAUAUAUAUUGCACAUUUUUAUGAUAUAUGUAAAAUAUUUGUAUAAAUGUUUAAUUUUAUUUUAAAUUAUAGGAACAAUUUGGUCUCUUAUAAACAUAAAAACAUCCUUGAAUAUAUUUUGAAUGCAUAACAAUGUUUAAGUUUUAGACAUUAUUUUAAAAUUAUGCUUUCCAAAAUUUUUUACACCACAUUAAUAGUUUUGAAACUAUUAUUUUCAAACAUUUACGACUGAAAAGUGAACAUAAGUGACUAACCUGAAAGUCUGGUCAACCCUGUAUUUGCAACUCGAAAUAUAGGUUGCGGUUGUACAUUAUGUCACGCUCUAAGCGAGACAUAGUCCAAUAUCACCAGUUAAGGGCCACCCCUUGCAAAGUCACUUCCCACUUUCUUACAAGUUGAAAAUGAACACAUGGUAUACGCAUCAUUAGUCACAACCUAAGAUUUUUUAUAAAUUUAUUUAUUUAAAAUGUUUUAUCUCUUGAAUCGUGCAUCCAAAUAUUGUAUCGUUUUCACUAUUUGACUUCUCCUGUUUAGAUCUUUGAAACUAGGACGGGCCCUUUUGUUUGAGCUUAAGUAUGCUUCCGCUUUUCAGUUCUUCCACUUUGGCCUAAAAGCUAAAACUAACUCCUAAAUAUGGGCUUUUAUCUUCGGCUUUCGGCAUAUACCAUCAAAUAAUAAUAUUCAUUCAUAAGCCAAAAGACAAUAAGCCUAAAAACGAAGACAAAAGCCCUAUUUAGGAGCUUUUUUGACUUUUAGGUUUAUGGUUUCAGUUUUUUGGCUUAUGGCCUUUUGGCUUGACUUUUGGCUUAUGAAUCAAAAUUGUUAAUAGGCGUCGAUGAAAAAUGUCCACACAAAAAAUUAGCGAAAACAGAAACAUAAUCCAAUAAGAAGGAAACCCUGAGAAAAAAAGGACAACCGGAAAAAAUGAAUGCCCAAACAAGGAAGGAUAAAACUGGAGCUUGGAAAGUUGGCUGCGAUUUUCACUUUUUGGGGGUGUGAACAAGGUUGUGCUUUUCUUUUUAUCGAGGAAGCACAUGUUGUGUUUCCGCAAGCAUGUGCUUCUUUUUAUCGAGAGCGUCCAAAGAAGCAACAGUUUUUUUUUAUAUAUGGAUCAAAGAAGUAACAGUUGGUUACUUGCUCCCUAGAUAGUGACACCUGAGGCGGAUAGUUUUUUUUUAUUUUUGAGCAAACCUGAGGCGGAUGGCUCAUGCGCAAUUCUCUAUUUUCUACCGCUCACAGCCCACGAGCCUUUGAUGGGCCAGAUGUGCUGGUAGCUCUCGUAGGUAACCAAGCCAUAUCGUCCAAGAACGCGGUCCACGAGAUGAGAAGCGCGCAGUGGAUUCCAAAACCCUGACAAGAAGGAGCCGGGCGACGUCCGUCCCUAUCCAAAACGAAGACGGUCCGUAUGACCAUCAGCAGCAGCAGCAGCAGCAGCAAGAAGACGGGUAGUAGUACUAGCUGAGUAGGAGCAGGGAGAGGCUCGAGUAGCUAUAGCCCGUGCCCGUCGUGGUGCUGCCUGCUGUUACUGCCAUCGCAGUAAGUAGUAUCAUCGUGGCAGCGGCGACAGGCUGACGGCGACAGCCAAAGCACGGACGGCAAGCAAGAGCAGGAAGCAGAUGAUGGCCAAAAGAUAGCAACAGCGUGAUACGUGCUCCUCCUAGGACUUGACAGUAUACGUCUCCUACUGCUUUGUACGUACUGCUUACUACACAGGUGCUCGUGUCGUGCUGGUUCCAAUUCCAACCGAUAAAUCGAAAAGCACGCGGCACGGGGAGCGUCCACUCCAUUGCUCUCCGCUGCAGGCGCAAGCAAGCAGACCCAAAGCAGCCAAAGCUGCCGCGUCGGGGCAUGCAGCAAAUGCAGCGGCCCUGCUCGCACGUCCAGUGUGCCGCGGGCACGUGUAGUACGUUGCCGCCCGCGGAAAAGCAGCACGGCACGCCGGCCAAACCACGGCGCACGGCGAACUAAUAAUCAAUCAAUCAACAAUCGAUCGCGUGCGUGCACGGCCUUUUGUAUUGCACAUCUUCUCUCCGUCUCAGUUCGCGCAUGCCUGUAGUCUGCAGACGUGCGGUGGUGGUGGUACACGAGAGCGGCUCACGUGCACGGUCCGGGCAUGCCAGCGGCCGAUCUGGUGAGCCCACUCGCCCGCCGGCCACCCUCUACCCCAGACCCAGAGCCAGACCCUGGCAUGCCAGCCACGGCACGCGCGCGGACGGGAGCGCGCACACGCAAAAGAUACGCCGCCCAUUUCCGGGCCUCUGUCCCAAAAGCCACCGGCUCCAAAGGCGUGGAAGUGGAGCCCGUCCGGCCGGCGGGCAUCGCCGUCAUAAUCGCACACGACGCACGGAGGCGGGCGUACGUUGGCAUGGAUAUUAUGGGGCCCGUCCGGCCGGCCGGCCGGCAAGCUCCUUUAAUCCCCAAAGCCAAACAGUCUCGCUUGUAGCAAGAGCGUUGCAGCCAGUCAGAGCUGUGAGGCCCCGAGCUCGAUGGCAGUGCUCUCUGUCACGUCUCAAAUGACGCUUAUACCCCCGACCCCACUCUCUCUCCUCCAACCACGAGCCUACUGGCAACGAGAGAGGAGAGGGAAAUGGGAAAGAGACGGCGGCAUGCGGGCGGGCGGAGCCACGCCUCGCUGCUCACGAGACGCGCCGGUGACACGACACGACGUGCCUUUCCACGCGCGCGCGCGCUCGCUCCCUCUCGCUUGGCCGUGCGAGCGCGGUCCCGGCCUCCCCGAGCGCACGCACGCGCGCCCGAGCCACCCCGCCACCAUGGCCCGCUCGGAGAGGACGAGGGGAAACAAAAACAUUCGUGCUCCCGAGGAGUGUGUUUGGUCGUUGUAACAGGAGCACGCCAAGCUAGGUAUGCUAGACCCCUGGGUGGCUCGUCAUUAACAACUUGAUUGGGAUUUAACGAGGCACCGGAUAACGAGACAUGGACACUGCCCGUGUACGUGAUGAUCCACUCGUGUAGUACAAAGCAGUAGUACUGGGAGCAGUUCGAUUAACCAAAACCGGCGAGAGCUGCCGAGAGCUGGGGCCAAGAGAAGAGGAGAGGAGCGUACUGUGGCGUAGUUGCCACACUGCUAUGGCCAAGCAGCUGGCGCUGCUGUAGCGGCGCUGUGUCUCUUCGCUGCUCUUCUCUGGUCUGCCUACCUGCGGCGUCCUGCUCCCAGUAGUAGUAGUAGUAAAUAAACACUGCACAGUACAGUUGGUAUUGUAGACGAUCGAGGCGGCUGUUUGUUACGCACGCGUGCAGGCUGGCAGAGCCAGCGCGGUGCCGCCACGCGCCCCAACGCUUCCGUGUUAUCGGCCCCGGUCUCAUCGCCUCGGCGGCUGCGUGCGUCUCUCUCGAGCUGCAUGCACAUCCGCAACCAGACAUGCAUGCCCAUCGUUUCCGUUACUCCAACUACUAGCGCAACGUCCAUUCGGUGUAACACGUCGGCGGUACGAGCGAGCGGAAACUGGCAAAGGACCGGUCGCCGGAGUCGUUCGUGGCCGUGAUACGGCCGGAGUGACGACAUGAUCGAUGAUGGCCGUCCGGGGCGUCGUCGUGUUGGAUCGCACGCAACGAGCCCAUUUAUGAUGCCCGUGUACCUCCGGUGGUAUUCAAUGGCGCUGCGACCUUGGCGGGACGCAUCACUGGUCACCUCGUGAGCAGCGUCGCAGCGGGCGGCGCGUGUACGGUGUACCGCCGGCGCUAGUGGUGGAUCGAAGCAGCCUUUUAUCCAUUGCCAGAUACCGAUCCCACCGACCAACGCGGGGUUGACCAAAUGACCGGCACCGCAACUUUUUGUACUCCCUCCGUUUCAGUUUAUAAGUCCUGCACGUGUAUUUAGGUCGUUAAUUUGACCAACUUAAUAAGAGACAUAUAUUACAAAAAUAUAUCAUUAUAAACUUUAGAUGUUCUAUUUUUUAAUGAUAUAAUUUUUAUGUUAAACAAUAUAUUUUAUAUAAGUCAAAUUGACGACCUAGAUACACGUACACGCCUUAUAAACUGUGAUGGAGGGAGUAUAGCAUUUCUCCCGACACGAACACGAGAAAUGUGCUCUUCUUUGAUCCGCGCGGCUGUUUCUCGGCUGCUAGAGCAACCCAAAGCACCGAUUCAUUUUGUCAGUUUGAGUCAUUCGAACACAAAAGCUGACCCAACGAUAUGAUUCAAACGGACGUGCGUGUCCGCAUUUAGGGGGGGGCUGUGUCAGCUAGUGGGAUGAGCGGGAUGGAGGGCGCGCAGGUCAACGAGAGGAAGGGCCGCCAUUGGGGGAAGUGCGGCAGCUGCGCAGGCUUGAAUGUCCACCACCACUGGGCGGGGGACAAGGAGGAGGAGGCCCGGGGAGUGGUGAUCCAUACCUGCGCCCCCGACGUCGUCUGAAUCUUCCAUCUCAAGUGGGAAGGAAAGUGGCGGGCCGCCGGUGCCUCCUGAAGCACCGCGUUUGGCGGGAUCAGGGCAAUUUGACCCAAACCGGGCCCCUUAUCUCUGUAUCGCGAGGUGCGGCCCGACGCUCAGCGAGAAGAACAUCACAACGGGUCGUCCGUUUUUUAAACAUCUCGUGUGUUGAGUUUGUUCACUCACAAUGCGUGUUCGUCUCAUGUCCGCUAGCAGGGCCGGUCCUGAUAUUUUAGGGGCCCGGGGCGACACUAGGAUCCGAGGCCCCUAAUACGAACACCAAAAUAAUGCUUAUAAUCGCACGACGAUAUGCAGUGCAACGUUUCAUGUUUAGGUGAGAGUGUGAUAACCGUGCUAUCAUCUUUUUAGCGUGUAUGAACCAAGGUUCAACCCGAGUUAUAGAGCAUGGGUGAACUUUAGCACAUUAUACUUUUCAUUGUGUCGACAUGAAAUACUAUCAAUGACACUUGAAGUGCCUAAAAACAUUCAUGUAAAAAAGAAAAACACACCUAUCUGUAGUCAUAUUGUCAUGGUGGCCGGUAGACAAGGUGUGUACGUAAGGUAUCUUCUUGGCGACUCAGCCUCUCACUUCUCGGUGUGGCCGCGUGGUGGCUCGUGAUGAAAAAUCUUCAAAUCAGAUGGCAACACACACAUUAAGAGUGGAUCUUCAAGGCUGUCUAUCUUUUUCCUGAAAAAACGAAGGUCGCAAUUUGAUCGUUAAACAAUUAUUAUUUUGAAGCGAGUGUAAUUCACAAUUAUGUACCAGUGAAAAGAUUCAAACAUUCCUUACACAUUCUUGAAAACUAUACAACAGGACUUAGGGUUUGUCCUUCCUAAGUGAAAUUAAAAACAGAANNNNNNNNNNNNNNNNNNNNNNNNNNNNNNNNNNNNNNNNNNNNNNNNNNNNNNNNNNNNNNNNNNNNNNNNNNNNNNNNNNNNNNNNNNNNNNNNNNNNNNNNNNNNNNNNNNNNNNNNNNNNNNNNNNNNNNNNNNNNNNNNNNNNNNNNNNNNNNNNNNNNNNNNNNNNNNNNNNNNNNNNNNNNNNNNNNNNNNNNNNNNNNNNGAAAUUAAAAACAGAAAGUAGAUGCUGCUGCCUCCAGGCCCAUCAUUUAUUUGGUUUUGCUGCUGCUCUACAUGUUCCUUUCUUAAUACUUUCAUGUAACGUGCUUACAUGGACAGCAGAAAACAGAUUAGAUCAUAGAUAGGAUUAGGAGGAAGGAACCAUGGACAAGUGGACAACUAGAGGUGAAUCGGGAAGAGGAAGAAAAGAUGGGGUCGCUGCGUACAAACUGUUCGGCAAGGAAGAGUUGGACCAAGCGGCGGUCGAUGAACUAAUUUGCCUCAUGAAUCGAAGUAUACGAUCGAACUGUCGGCGUAGGCCAAAAGUUAGGGUUCGCAACGAUACGACGAGGUCUCAGGUUGUGGGAAUGAAUCCAUUGUGUUCGCUAAUCGCCUAGAAUAGAACGAUCUCCGGCUCAUGAGGUAUCAAUCGCGUCCCCAACACAGGCACAUAGUUGGACCAGUCAGCGCAGGCCUAGGUCGGGGCCCCUUAGACUUCAGGGGGCCCGGGGCGGCCGCCCCUCCCGCCCCCUGAGGGCCGGGCCUAUCCGCUAGGCGAACGAACGAUCCAAACGAACAAAAUUCAAAUAAAAUUCAUAUACGUUUAAAUCUUCCCGUUGGAGUUAUCCUUACGGGCGGGUAGCUAGGGUGCAAACAUACACGACAGUAAUCCAUGGCUGUGACCCACUCCUGGACGAGGCACAAGGAGCAGGCGUGAAUCGGGACCCAUUGCUCUCGACCGACGCGACGGAUAUGCACACACACUCGCACCUAGUAAAAAACAUGUUCCCAGCUCGUAGGCAUGCAUGCAGUUGCCUCCUGCUCUCCUGCUGCAGCGAAGCAACCAACCCAACCCUGUGUCCCUCUCUGCUGCACGCACGCAGCAUGGCCCUGCCUUGUUUAUUGCGACGUGAAGGCGAGCACUGGAGAGUGGAGUCGAGCCAGCCACAAGCCAAAGCGAAGCGAUGCACGCCGCGGAGCGCCACCGGGUAGCAGCCACGCACAACCCGACGCGGCCUCCGCGUUCCCGGCGCGGAGACGCGAGGCGGCGGCCUGGCCUCUCGUGUGUGCUGUGUUGCUUCGGGCGGAAGGCUUUCAAGUUGGCGGCGCCGCGGCAUGGGCACGUGCCCGAGUCCGGUUUCGCUUCCGCUCCGCCAGCCCACUGCUCCGUUGGGUUCCUACUUCCUAGCGAGGUCGACCGAUCGCGAUGGCCGUCGACGUCCAUCGCCACCACACACAAACGUUUGUACGGCCCGGCGCCCGGCGGGCUGACGUUCCCAUGCAAGGCCGACGUGCCGCGCGCCUGCCGACCACGUCUUCUUUUCAACGCGGCGCGUCGGCAUCGCAGCUGCAGCGCGUACCGCGUACUGUGAUGCCACUGGGGUUUAGGGGGGAGGCAGGCUUUAUCCAUUUCGGCCACUACGGGAUAUUCCUUGCAUUUGUUUACUUUGUAAGCAAUUCUAAAUGAAAGGGAAAAAAAAUUGCAAAAAUGAUUGCGCGCAACACUACGUGCACUAAUGUCAUGAUGAUGCAACUAAUGCCCGUAGACAAGAUUUCGUAACCAGACAAUUUCUAUUACUACUAAAAAUCUGUCAAGGUACACUUCAAAAAAAGUAUCUGUCAAGGUAACUCAAUCCUUAUUUUUUCUCUACUCAUGGCUUACUGUAAACCAAAUAUUCCUUGGCUUAACUACCCCUCGAAUUAUUAAGAAACAAACUGUUUACAUGCCUGCUAAUAGUAGUAGCCAGAUCAACGUUUUCUCACCAGUUUUAGUUGUACGAAUUUUGAUGCCUGGUUGAAGGUUCACAUCACUUACUUAAAGAUAGUGAUUUCUCUGCCACUCGAGCUAUAAAACCUUUACAUUUGCAUUAUGUUAUGUUGUCUAUUUCCUUUUCUCGACCAAUUUCUUCACAUGAUUUUUCUCGAAUUUAUCCGACCCACGAUCCAACCUUGGCUUCUAACUCCCGCGACGCCUCUUCCCUUGGUUUUGACACCAUCAUCCUCCCGCCACAGAGGUGUCUCCUGGUCACAAACUUGUCCGCUCCACUAAGAAUUAGUCAACGUCGUCAUUUGCCGACAUGGUUUGCGGCCUGCAUUUUUCGACUUGAAAUCUGCACUCAAUGUUCAUCUAGAUCGGUAUUUUGAUUGGAAUAGUGUUAAUAACUUUCUCUUCUACCAACGGUAGUCACCAGUUCAAUUCGUGGAAUUUUGGUAUUAAUUCUCAUAGCACUUCUCUUACCAUCAAGUGAAACAAAAGACAUAAAUAGUUGUUGUCUAUAGACUAAUAGCUAGCGUGUAUGAGCAAUGUGAGGACGUGUACACUAGCUUGAUGUUAACCUUUCUGUUAGGGAAGCGAUGUAGGAUAAUCAUUAACUUGAAAGUUGUAGUGAAAAAAAGUUCAAUGGUAGACGGGUUUAUUUUCGAACGGGAAUUCCUCAUUCGAUGGUGUUUUUCAUCAUGAUCUGUUUUUAUAAUAAUGUGGACUAGUUGGUUUACUACGCACUAUAGUUGGUGGGAAACCUAGUAGAAACCAAAAAAAAUCUUCACUACCUAUGUAUACCCAUGUAAAAGGGUCACAUCCCGAUCUCACCUCAUUUGUGAUUUUUUUUCCGGAUGUGAUCCUUUUUUUACCGUCACCCGUUAUGGUUGUAGGCAUACACACAUCCUACUGUCACUCAUUCUGGCGGUAGGGGUCGGGCCAACGCAUAUGACACUUUGGGAUCAACGGGGUCAAAUGACGCCACCUCCACUGACCUCACCCUUACCGCCACUUCGUGUGGCGAUAGGAAAAAAAAGCCAGUCAGAUCAGGCUAAAGUUAGCAAAAAGGGUCAAAAUCGUGAAUUUGGCCCCUAUAGGAGAGAUAAUUUUAAAUACAAAUGUUUAUAUAUUACUAACAUUUUCGCAUGAGGUUCUCCACUUCCAAUGGUUUUUUCCAACUUGAUUGGUACCUUCAUUGCAAACCAGCUUUUAGGUCCAAUGUUGUUCUCCUCUUAGCAUGACUAAGUUGAUUUGUUGUGCAUGUGUAAGACUGUGUUUGGUUCAACUUAGGGGCCAGCUUUUAGGUCCAAUGUUGUUCUCCUCUUAGCAUGACUUAAGGUAAUAUGCUUAAGUUGAUUUGUUGUGCAUGUGUAAGGUUGUGUUUGGUUCAACUUAGGGGCCAGCUUUUAGGUCCAAAAGCUAAAAUCUGAACCACACGUGUUUUCCAUCGGACUAACUUCGUAAGAAACUGCGGAUUCUCUCUCCGUAAAUUUCGUAGCUAGCCCAACCCAACUUUCCCAACUUGAAAACCAACCCAAAUAAUUGUCCCGAGGAAGUUGGGUAUUAUUUACCCACGUUUGGCACUCUGAAGUGAAGGUAACCCUUCGAUCUAUUCUCCCACGACCCGUCACUCAAUGAACAGACAGAGCCGCGAGCCGCUCCGGGAGAUGCUCUCCUCGCUAGGGUUCGCCGCCACCAGCAACUACAGCCGGCCUCUGGCGAUCCUCCGACCCCCACUGUCGCCCGAAGCUUCAUUUUCAUCCGAGGUAAUACCUUUGUCCCUCUCCUCCCUCUUUCCUCCCUCCAUCCCCUUCGUCCCUUCCUUCAACCGGUCGUCAUGCGAUCCUCAUCUAGUCGGUCGUCACGCAUCGCGGGAGCACUGCGGGCUUGUCGUUCGGCGCCGUCGGAGCACCGACCCUCGUUCACCCCUACCCCCUCGUCCCCCUUCGUCCCCUUCGUCCCUCCUUUCUCCCCUUCGUCUAUGUCCGUCAACCCUCGUCGAGUCAAUCGUCACGCACCGCCACUACCGACUGGCCAUCCAGCACCAUCGGAGCAACGUCCCUCCUUCACCCCCACCCUACUGCCUCCUCCCUCCUUCAUAUGUCCUCCCUCUCUCUAUUCCAGAAUGAUCCAGAUCUGGGCCUCCCUUGUUUUCUUAAUUAUUGGAUGAGUAUGUUAUGUAGUAUGGCUAUUUUGUGAGUAUGUAGAUGGUUACUUGAUGGUAUUGCUGCAUAUUGUUUGUCAUAUUGGUUAGUAUUGUUGAACUAUGGGUUUUUUUUUGUUAAUAUUGGUGCAUAUUAUCGGGGAACGUUGCAUGGGAAACAAAAAAUUCCCUACGCACACGAAGACCUAUCAUGAUGAUGAUCAUCUACGAGAGGGAGAUCAGAUCCACAUAACCUUGUAGAAUGCUAAGUGGAAGCGUAUAUAAUGCGGUUGAUGUAGUGGAACAUCUUCGCGAUCCAAAUCACAACCCGUCCCACGAUAUCAUCACGAUCCGUCCCGCGAUCCCAUCACGAUCCAUGCCGAUCUAGUGCCGAACGGACGACACCUCCGCGUUCAACACACGUAUAGCUCGAUGACGAUCCCGGCCUUCUUGAUACAGCAAGAGGGGCAGAGAAGUAGAUGAGUUCUCCAGCACGUCGUGGUGGUGGUGAUGGUGAACUAAUUCAGCAGGGCUUCACCUAGUGCUCCCUUGUACAAGUGGAAUGGUGUGAAUGUGCCUCAAAUUUGGAAAGAGGUCAUCCCAAAAAUAAGGAAGAUAACAGCCAACAAGUGGCCUAGUGCUCCCUUGAACAAAAACAAGAAGUGGAAAUGGCGGCUUGACAACAACUCCGUGUGAGGUAAGCAAAAGCAAUAAAACGCAAGCACUUUUUUUUAACUAUGGAAGCUUUUGCUUGUGUGUUGAGUUAUGUAAGAGUUUUCAACUUUUCUUUUCUGUUGACUAAUUAUUAUUUAACCUGAGGACCAAUUAUUCUGUAACCUGACAACUAAGUAGUACAUAAUCUGGAAACUAAGGAUUAUAUAAACUGGUAGCUAAGUACUUUCAUCUACAACUAUCUUUUAACAACAUGAUAAUUAAGAUGUAGCAACUAAGUACUUCCAUCUGAGAACCUGAUAAUUAGUUAUCUGACAACUAUCUUUUUUAAUCAAAAUAACUAAGUAAUUGCAUUCUGGCAACGACUCCCUUUGUAUCAAUACAAUAACAAGCUAGUACUAACCUUUUUUUAAAACUACAGCAGGCCGCUUUCACUGUAGUUAGCUAUGCAUGAGACAAGAGGCAUGCGUUUCACUGUAGUUAAUUAUGCAUGGGACAGGAGGCAUGCGUUGCGAGGCUCUGACAGAGUGGCUAGCCGCUGCAUCGCACGCAUGCUACGCAACUAUUUUAGAAACCGCCGCACGAAACACAUACGUUUUUAGUUGUCGGAUUAUAGUGUACUUACUUGCCAGUUCUAAAAAAAUUCAGUUUUGCCAAAUACAUGUGCUCAAAUUCUGGCAAGAGAUGGUUUUCAUUUAGGAAACUAAGUAUUAAAAAUGCUUCAAUCAGAUUUUUUUAAAACCUAGCAGCCAAACGAUUGUAUUUUAAAUUAAACGACUUAGUAUAACCUUUACACAUAAACUGAGGGGAAUACAAGAAAGUUACAUAUCACACAAAAGAGACACACAUAUAUAAAAUAGCACCAAGAACGACAUUAGCACCCCUCGCAGAACAUAGAGCAUUCAGAAUUACAUAUAUAAAUAGCUUCCAGAAUUUUAUAUAUAAAUCCAACAUUACACAAUACAUCCAGGAAAACAUCUCAUCUUCAGUUUGGAAGGGGGGCGGGUUUGUCCCUCGUCGAGCAUGUCCUCACAUCAUGUGUGAUUGAUCCAGAGAGCCGACAGGUCUUUUUUUCUUUCUUGCCAAUGUUCAAUGGGUGCUGGAAUGUCUUCUUCCUCUUGCGCCCUUUGUGUUUGACUUUUUUGGGUCACGAAGGAUAGGAUCAUGAGCAACUACAUGUGAAGAAUGGUGCUGGUUGUUCGAGCCACGAAACAGGGUAGAAGUAGCAUUUGUAGCAACAACCAUUGGCCAAGCAGACACACUCAAAACACUCAUGGAUGCACUUUGGCUUUGAAUUUGGGGGUCAGAAGCAGCUGCAUGGGGAGAGUGGGCUUGGUUGUUUGAGCGAGGACCGGCUUGGACAAUAUAGAUACUUGGACCAACAAUGUUCAACAUAACCGACGCACUAGCUGCAGCCGCCAAAGCACUUCGGGCAGAAUAUGCACCUAGAGUAGCAGACCCUAUAGCAGCAGACUUUGACAUAGUUGUUGUACUCCCAGCUACCGUUGUAGCACCGUGGCAUAUAAUGUUUGGCUCAGCAAGAACUACAUAGGAUGAACGGACUUUAUUGUUGGAAGCACCAACUUGGGCAGAAUAUACACCAGGAGCAUCAGGAUUUGGCAUAAAUGGUGCACUCACAGCAGCCACCGAAGCACUUCGGCCCUGAGUGGUUGGCUCGAAAGUAGCUGCAUACAAACAAUGACCUUGGUUGUUGGAGACGUGAACUUGGGCAGAAUAGGCACGUGGAGCAGCAUAUUUUGACAUAGAUGGUGCACUCGCAACAGUUGCUGAAGAAUCUGGAGCAACAUCAACCAUUGAUCCUCUUUUCGUUUGUUCUUUCGCAAGUGCAGCAAGCUCCCUCUUCAUAUCCUUUAAGUGUGUACCUAUUAUCUUCGACCAUCAGUUGUGCGGCACCCAACUUUAGCAAGUGAGGCAAACUCAUUCUUCAUGAGGGUUGUUUUCAUCAGAAUCACUGACUCCUCAGGCAUCUCAUGCACUUUGCCACGGACUUGUGACGACAUAUCAACGAGCAUUUCCUCCAUAAGCCAUGUCCAUCUCUUGAGUAUGUAUGUUGCUGGCAACGUGGUAACACCAAGAUGGACCAUGACCUGCAUCGUACAAGUAAAUAAUACAUUAGUCAUGGAAAGAAAAAGACAGAUAUUUUGAGUCAUUCAAUUAUGCAUUUGGAGAACCCAGCAACCCCCAAAAUCUGCGAAGUAGGAAAAGAAGUGGAGAACAUGACAAUUAUGAAUACAAAAGCCAGCAAGUCCGCAAAAUAGGAAUAUGGAAAUGUGUUGGAAAUAUGCCCUAGAGGCAAUGAUAAAUACUUAUUAUUACAUUUCCAGUUACAAAGAUAAUCGUUUAUUAUCCAUGUUAUAAUUGUAUUGAAUGAAAACAUAGAUACAUGUGUGGAUACAUAGACAAAACAAUAUCCCUAGCAAGCCUCUAGUUGGCUAGCCAGUCGAUCAAUGAUAGUCAAGAUUUUCUGACUAUGUGCAAGUGUUGUCACUUGAUAACUGGAUCACAUCAUUAGGAGAAUCAUGUGAUGGACUAGACCCAAACUAUGAACGUAGCAUAUUGAUCGUGUCGUUUUAUUGCUAUUGUUUUCUGCGUGUCAAGUAUUUGUUCCUAUGACAAUGAGAUCAUAUAACUGACUGGCACCGGAGGAAUACCUUGUGUGCAUCAAACGUCGCAACGUAACUGGGUGACUAUAAAGGUGCUCUACAGGUAUCUCCGAAGGUGUCCAUUGAGUUAGUAUGGAUCAAGACUAGGAUUUGUCACUCCGUGUGACGGAGAGGUAUCUCGGGGCCCACUCGGUAAUACAACACAACACACAAGCCUUGCAAGCAAUGUGAUUAAGUGUAAGUCACGGGAUCUUCUUUACGGAACGAGUAAAGAGACUUGACGGUAACGAGAUUGAAAUAGGUAUGCGAAUACCGACGAUCGACCCUCGGGCAAGUAACAUACCGAAGGACAAAGGAAAUGACAUACGGGAUUAUAUGAAUCAUUGACACUGAGGUUCAAUCGAUAAGAUCUUUGGAGAAUAUGUAGGAUCCAAUAUGAGCAUCCAGGUCCCGCUAUUGGAUAUUGACCGAGGAGUGUCUCGGGUCAUGUCUACAUAGUUCUCGAACCCGCAGGGUCUGCACACUUAAGGUUCGAUGAUGUUUUAGUAUAGUUGAGUUAUAUGUGUGGUUACCGAAUGUUGUUCGGAGGCCCGGAUGAGAUCACGGACGUCACGAGGGUUUUCCAGAAUGGUCCGAAAACGAAGAUUGAUAUAUAGGAUGGUUUCAUUUGGUCAUCGGAAAGUUUCGGGCAAUUCCGGCAGUGUACACGGAGUGACGAAUGUGUUCCGGGUGUUUACCGGGAGGGGCCCACCCACCCGGGAGUGAGCCCAAGGCCCUAGGGUGGCGCACCAAGCCCCUAGUGGGCUGGUGGAGUCAGCCCAAGAGGGCUAUGUCGCCACAUAAGAAAAUACCAAAAGAAAAGAAGAAAAAAAGGAAAGAGGGAGGUGGGAAGGAAGAGGAGGACUCCUCCUUCCCAAAUCAAAUUGGAGGAGUCCUCCUCCUCCUGGCGUCCGGCGCACCUGGAGGCCCUUGUGCCUCAAGGCUUGCCCCUCUCCUCCUCCUAUAUAUAUAUUGGUAGUUUAGGGCUUUUUGAGACACAACUUUACCACAUGCAACUCAAGGCUAUUCCACAUAGUUUUAACUCUAGAUCGGAUUUCUGCGGAGCUCGGGCGGAGCCUUGCAAGAGUAGAUCGUCACCACCACCGGAGCGCCGUCACGCUGUCGGAGAACUCAUCUACUUCUCCGUCUUGCUUGCUGGAUCAAGAAGGCCAAGAUCAUCGUUGAGCUGUACGUGUGCUGAACGCGGAGGUGUCGUCCGUUCGGCGCUAGAUCGAAACGGAUAGUGGGACGGAUCGCGAGACGGUUCGUGGGACGGAUCCUGGGGCGGUUCGAGGGACGUGAAGACGUUCCACUAUAUCAACCGCGUUUCUUAACGCUUCCUGCUGAGCGAUCUACAAGGGUAUGUAGAUCUAAUCUCCACUCGUAGAUGGACAUCACCAUGAUAGGUAUCCGUAUGCGUAGGAAUUUUUUUGUUUCUCAUGCAACGUUCCCCAACAGUGGCAUCAUGAGCUAGGUUGAUGCGUAGAUGUUAUCUCGAGUAGAACACAAAAGGUUUUUUGGACGGUGAAGUUCGAUUUGCUGCCCUCCUUAGUCUUUUCUCGAUUCGGCGGUAUUGUUGGAUUGAAGCGGCCCGGACCGACAUAACUCGUACGCUUACGAGAGACUGGUUUCAUCGAUUGACAUGCAACCUCGUUGCAUAAAGAUGACUGGUGGGUGUCGGUUUCUUCAACUUUAUUUGAAUUGGUUUUUGACCGAGGCCGUCCUUGGAGAGAGGUUAAAUAGCAAUUUGCACAUCUCCGUUGUGGUUUUUGCGUAAGUAAGAUGCGAUCAUACUAGAUACCCAUAGCAGCCACAUAAAAUAUGCAACAACAAAUUAGAGGACGUCUAACUUGUUUUUGCAGGGUAUGCUUGUGAUAUGAUAUGGCCAAUGACGUGAUGUGAUAUAUUGGAUGUAUGAGAUCAUCAUGUUGUAAUAGUUAAUAUUGACUUGCACGUCGAUGCUACGACAACCGGCAGGAGCCAUAGGGUUGUCUUUAAACUAAUGUUUGUGUUUGCAGAUGCGUUUACUAUAUUUCUAGGUCAUAGCUUUAGUGGUAAUAGCAUAGAUAACACGACAACCUCGAUGGCGACACGUUGAUGGAGAUCAUGAUGAUGGAGAUCAUGGUGUGGCUCCGGUGACAAGAAGAUCAUGACGGUGCUUUGGUGAUGGAGAUCAAGAAGCACAAGAUGAUGGCCAUAUCAUGUCACUUAUGAAUUGCAUGUGAUGUUAAUCCUUUUCUGCACCUGAUUUUGCUUAGAACGACGGUAGCAUUAUGAGGUGAUCUCUCACUAAAAUUUCAAGACGAAAUUGUGUUAUCCCCAACUGUGCACCGUUGCGACAGUUCGUAGUUUCGAGACACCACGUGAUGAUCAGGUGUGAUAGACUCAACGUUCACAUACAACGGGUGCAAAACAGUUGCACACACGGAACACUCGGGUUAAACUUGACGAGCCUAGCAUGUGCAGACAUGGCCUCGGAACACAUGAUACCGAAAGGUCGAGCAUGAAUCAUAUAGUUGAUAUGAUUAGCAUAGAGAUGCUUACCACUGAAACUAUUCUCAACUCACGUGAUGAUCAGACUUGAGUUAGUGAAUUUGGAUCAUGUACCACUCAAAUGACUAGAGAGAUGUACUUUUUGAGUGGGAGUUUAUCAAGUAAUUUGAUUAGUUAAACUCUAAUUAUCUUAAACUUAGUCUAAGUCCACUUUGCAAUAUUUGUGUUGUAGAUCAAUCGCUCACGCAAUAGUCACCCUGAAUUUUAAUACGUUCCUAGAGAAAUCUAAGUUGAAAGAUGAUGGAAGCAACUUUGUAGACUGGGCUCGUAAUCUUAAGUUGCUCCUGCAAGCUUGGAAGAAAGAUUAUGUCCUUAAUGCUGCGCUAGGAGAUGAACUACCCGCUAUGGCUGACCAAGAUGUUAAGAACGCUUGGUUAACAUGUAAGGAGGACUACUGAGUAGUUCAGUGUGCAGUCUUGUAUGGCUUAGAGUCGGGACUUCAACGUUGCUUUGAGCGUCAUGGAGCAUAUGAGAUGUUCCAGGAGUUAAAGUUUAUCUUUCAGAAGAACGCCCGGAUCGAGAGGUAUGAGACCUCCGAUAAAUUCUGUGCUUGCAAGAUGGAGGAGAAUUCGUCUGUCAGUGAACAUGUGCUCAAAAUGUCUGGGUACUCAAACCGUCUAGUUGAGUAGGGGAUUGAACUCCCGCAAGAGGCUAUCACUGACAGAAUUCUUCAAUCACUGCCACCAAGCUACAAGAGCUUUGUGUUGAACUAUAACAUGCAAGGGAUGAACAAGUCACCUCGCGAGUUAUUUGCGAUGCUGAAAGUCACAGAGUCAAAACUCCGGAAAGAGCAUCAAGUGUUGAUGGUCAAUAAGACCACUAGUUUCAAGAGAAAUGACAAAGGCAAGAAGGGUAACUCCAAGAAGAGCGGCAAGCCUGUUGCCAAUUCGACGAAGAAACCCAAGGCUGGACCUAAGCUUGAAACAGAGUGUUAUUAUUGCAAGGGACUCGGUCACUGGAAGCGCAACUGCCCCAAAUAUUUGGCUGAUAAGAAGGCAGCCAAUGAAAAAUCAGGUAUAUUCGAUAUACAUGUUAUUGAUGUGUAUUUAACCAACUCUCGUAGUAGUGUCUGGGUAUUCGAUACCGGUUCUGUUGCUCAUAUUUGCAACUCGAAAUAGGAACUGCGGAAUAAGCGAAGUUUGGCGAAAGAUGAAGUGACGAUGUGCGUGGGAAAUGGUUUCAAGGUUGAUGCAAUCGUCGUCGGCACAAUUUCAGUUCAGUUACUAUCAGGAUUAGUUAUGAACUUAAAUAAUUGUUAUUUAGUGCCUGCGUUAAGCAUGAACAUUAUAUCUAGAUCUUGUUUAUUGCGAGACGGUUACUCGUUUAAGUGAGAGAAUAAUGGUUGUUCUAUUUCUAUGAGUAAUAUCUUUUAUGGUCAUGCACCCAAUGAGAGAAGAUUGUUCAUAUUGAAUCUUGAUAGCGAUGAUACACAUAUACAUAGCAUUGAGACCAAAAGAGUUAGAGUUAACAAUGAUAGCGACAUGUUUUUGUGGCACUGCCGUUUAGGUCAUAUUGCUGUAAAGCGCAUGAAGAAACUCCAUUCCGAUGGGCUUUUGGAGUCACUUGACUUUGAAUCACUUGACACGUGCGAACCAUGCCUCAUGCGCAAGAUGACUAAGACUUCGUUCUCCGGAACAAUGGAGCGUGCAAGUGACUUGUUGGAAAUCAUACAUACCGUUGUGUGCGGUCCGAUGAGUGUGGGGGCGCGCGGCUGAUAUUGUUAUUUUCUCACAUUCAGUGACGAUUUGAGUAGGUAUGGAUAUAUCUACUUGAUGAAGCACAUGUCUGAAAUGUUUGAGAAGUUCAAGCAAUUUUAGAGUGAAGUUGAAAAUCAUCGUGGCAAGAAGAUCAAGUUCCUACGGUCUGAUUGUGGGGGUGAAUAUUUGAGUUUCGAGUUUGGUGCUCACUUAAGACAAGGUGGAAUUGUUUCACAGUUGACACCGCCUGGAACACUACAGCGUAAUGGGGCGGUUCGAAGGACGUGAAGACGUUCCACUAUAUCAACUACGUUUCUUAACGCUUCCCGCUGAACGAUCUACAAGGGUAUGUAGAUCUAAUCUCCACUCGUAGAUGGACAUCACCAUAAUAGGUCUUCAUGUGCGUAGGAAUUUUUUUGUUUUUCAUGCAACGUUCCCCAACAAAAUGUGCGUAUAAUUUGUGUGUUUUACCCUUAGUAUAUGGCAACAGACGAUCCCAUCACGCUCAUACUUGCAUCAUUCACACAUAUACACCCCUUCUUAAAAACUCGCAUGUACCUUAAAGGACUUAUCGCUGUACCCCGGGACAAACUUAGCAAUACACUCAUCCAUGUAUUCCUGGGCACGUGUCUGCUUACAGCUCUACGGCAACAGUGACUGCAUCUCCCCGUGGAACCUAACAAACAUAUUGCGCGUAUAGAUAGUUUACAUUUGGAGCUCAAUUGGGUUGUAACUUCACUUCCUAGCUGUUGUGAUUGUUGUGUCUUCAUCCCGCUUCUUCUCAGCACACAUUAUCUUCUCUUGUAUGGCAGCAUAUUGGCGAAUAAAGUCCAUUGUUGAGUUUUGUGGGUUGACAUACUUUUUGAGCGCAACAUUGAAGCCUUCACUCCUUUGCGUGGUCUGGAGAAAGGGGUAGAACUUGUGCAUAAAGUAUGCGGGCACCCAACAUGUUCGUUUCUCAUACAAAUAAACAAAGUUUGGGUGUUCUGCAACCCCAUGUUGCUGAAUCAUUGCAAUCCACCUUGCUUCAAACUCCUCAGGAGUGUAGCUGUCAUUUACACGGUCAUUGAACUUGGUUUGCAACUCUGGGUGUUUCUCUAGGAACGGACUAGGCUUCUCGGUAGCAUUUUGCAUUAUAUGCCAAGGACAAUUUCGAUGCGUUGUAUUCGGAAAAACAUACCAGACCUCAUGGCAUAAUCUUGGUCUGUUAUGAUAUUGGUUGAGGCCAAACCACCCAUUGCUUCUAGGAAUGUCUCAAAUAGCCAAACGAAGCUUGUCGAUAACUAAUUCCUAACAAAACCACAACCAAACUGAAUUGACUGUCCAUGGUUGUUUAUACCAAUAAAUGGGGCACAAGGCAUCUUGUAUAUAUUUGUCAAAUAUGUUGUGUCAAAAGAGACACAAUCACUGAAAAACUUGCAAGCCCUUCUCGCUGAACCAUCAAUCCAAUAAAUGCAUUGGACCUUAUCAUCAUCAUCAAGCUUGUACUUGAAAAAUAAGUCUUUGUCAAGUUGUUGCUUUCCCUUAAAGUACUCAAUUCUGUCCUGCAUAUCACUUUAUUUAUGCUUAGCCCGAAACUUUGCCAGCAAGUUUGCCAAGUCUUUGUGAGUGUAACCAAUUGCUUCACGUUGGCCAUGCAACUUUGUCAAAAACGGCAUAUGUCUAAAAGGUUCCAGAUUGCACAAAUGAAGCAACUUCACAAACUGUUCUUCUUCUUCGGGGAUAUGUCUAUGUGAUCAUAGGUACCGUGUCAGCAACAACUUCUUGAUGAGAGGGUGGUUAUGGUCGUCAUUUAUUUCUGUAACAACCCAGGAAUUAUCUCUUCGCUUGACAAACAUACGGGUCGUGCAGUUUGUUCCUUCAGUUGUAUUCCUCCACCUCUCAGGGGCAAUAGGUUGCAGGUUUUGGGUGUCUACUUUCUUCUUGAUCUUCAUCCCAGCUGUAUGGCACACAAGGGAUGCUCUUAUUAGUUCACCACUCGCCUCUGACUUUUUUUUCUCUGAAAAAGUACCUCACUCUAAACCCUUUCUGCCUCGCAUACAUUUUGUAGUGUUUUUCAGCAUCCUCAAGAGUGUCAAACCUCAUCGUGGUUGUGGGUUGCUGUGGCAUGGACAUCACCUCCGAUAUGCCUUCAUCCUCAUUUGCAUUAUCAUCAUUUGGUGUGCGAUUAGAUGAUGCAUCCAACGUCUGCUCUGUGUUUGCCGGUUGUUGUAACACAGUGUGUCAUGCACUAAUAGUCUCACAAUCUGCAUAACACACAUAACCAAUUUAGUAACAUUUUUUUAGAAACUCACAAUUGUGCAUCUUUUUCUUCAAAACUGGUAAUCAGGUACAUCUUUUUCAAAACAGGGAGGCAUGUGAAAUAUGUAUUUUUGCACAACUAUUAGGAACAAAGUAUUUUGAAAUAAUCCAGUUUUUUUUUCAUGGUAAACUAGAAAACAUUUUGUGUAUUCAGAACCUUUGGUAUUGCCAUUUUUGGUAUUUUUUUAUAGGAUAUUCUACAUGAAACCAACAUUUUAAGUAGCAAGAAAGGAACUGCCAUUUUUUCAUGGUAACUAGGCACAUUUUUUCUGACAACUAGGUGCAUGGAGUUAUUCAACAACCAACAAAAGAAAUUGGCAUUUUGUUUUCUUAUAAACUAGGCACAAUUAUACUAACAACUACUGCAUUUUCUAUGCAGCAACUAGGUGUGAAAUAGCAGAGAACAUAAAAAGACUUGUUAAGUUAGUGAUUAGGCUUGAAGGCCUUUUUUAAGGAAUUACGGUAGCAGCAAAAAUACAACUAGAUGGUGGUGGUGGUACAAAUAAAUUGGAAACUCUAGGGAGGGGGGAACAAACCUGUGUCAUGAGCAGCUAGAAUGUAAGAAUCCAUCUUUUAUGUGGCGUGUCCCUUGUUGUUUCUUGGGAAGUCCUUCCUCCCUGCAUGUUUUUGUGUGAUACGAAGACAAUAUAUUAGCUAAUUUUUUUUCCGAUUUUUUUUUGUUCUGGAACAGGAAUUGAAAAGCAAAUCAGAUGAUGAAGAUCCGAAGGGAGAAAGAGAGGUGCAUAUCUGAGGGGCAGAAAAGAGAAGUUCUGUUUUGGGGGAGAAACAAGAGAUUUUCCGUAGGAUUUUCUUUGUGCAAGAAUUAAGGGGCAGUAAUUUGUAAGUAGAUUCAUGUUUCUUGCAAGGGACCUGGGACGAGGCACUUGCGUACCUGUUAUUUUUGCUACUUUGUGUACCUGUUAUUUUUGAUUUCCGUAAGUUUAUAACUUGGAUCACUCGAGAUGUCAUCUUUUUUGCUGCUUGUUCUGUUGUUUUCCGCCCUUCAGAUCUUGUUUUUACGCCAGUGGAGGCUAUUGGGGAGGGAGGAAGAAGACGGGAGGGAUUACGGGGUGGGGGAUCUGGGGUGGUUGUGGGAUUGAUGGUGGUGUGGGAAGAUAUUUAUGGAAACAAGUGUAUGAGACAAAAAAAAGAAGCUGCUGGGAUCGGGAGGAAGAGUUGAAAAAAGACAGGCCAGGCUGGCAACCUGCCGCCGCACGGGAGCGCACAUGUGCGGCGCCGCUCCGUAGUGGAGUCCUUCGUUGAAUUUAGUUUGAUAAUCAUUAUGACUCUAUUUCUGUUGUCAAAUGGAAAUAUAAGAUGUAAAUCGACUCUAAUACAAUAACCAACACACAUACUCCACAAUGUGAUGGAAUAUACAAGACGAUGGUAGUAAACUUCUUGUUAUUGAAGCCAUGAAGGAUAAGUGCUGGCUAACAAGAAUGGUAAAGUUAAACUAAAAAGAACAUAUAUCUAUCUUAAUAAAAUCAAUUAAGCAUAGAAACUAUUUGACAAAAUAAUAAAGAUAAUUUCUUAUUUUACCACAAGUUAAUAUUCACGAGGAACAUAACCAAACGAGACAUAUCUAUCUUAGCAAAAUAACAAGGAUAACUUCAUAUUUUACAGAUGGAGUAUUAAUUUACAGAACGAGUAUUUUUUUAAAGAGAUGCUGAAUCUCCAAAAUUGGAUGAAGGGCUGACUUUUUGAAGCACGGAUUGAUUAGCCGUUAGGCCCGUUACUAUGAGAUCUUGGUACCAAUUGAUGAAUGGAUUAAUUUCGCUGGGUUAAUUCGCAUAUCAAAUCCCCACUUUUCCGCCUUCCAAAGAAGAAAGAUGGCCGCGUUGAAGAGCAGCCCAAACCCAAACGCCAAAACCCCCGCCUCAAAAACCACCCAAAGCCAAAGCCAACCGCAGCAGAGCACCACCACCACCACCCGAGCUGCAGCAGCACCGAGCAGAGCAGCAGCAGCAGCAGCCCAACCCCCCUCUCCCCUCCCCAUCGACUGCGAUGAUGAUGGAGAUUCCACCACGCGCGCCCGCCUCCUCCUCCACCACCUCGUUCCCCGCAUAGCCAUCCAUCCAUCCAUUCCCCAACCCACAGCAAGAACCCUCCUCUUCUCCCUCCUCCGUUCUCCGAGCGAGUUUGAAUCUUGGUGAGGGGAGCGAUGGCCAAGGCGGAGAGGCUGGUGGUGGAGGUGGUGGCGGCGCACAACCUGAUGCCCAAGGACGGGCAGGGCUCCUCGUCGGCCUACGUGGAGGUGGAGUUCGAGCACCAGAAGCGCCGCACCAGGCCCAGGCCCAGGGAGCUCAACCCCGUCUGGAACGAGCGCCUCGUCUUCCCCGUCGCCGACCCCGACGACCUCCCCUACCGCGCCAUCGACGUCGCCGUCUACAACGACCGCGCCGCCUCCGCCUCCGCCUCCGGGAGCGGCCCCCACGGCCGCAACUUCCUCGGCAAGGUGCGCGUCCCCGCCGCCGGCGUGCCCGCGCCUGGGGAGCCCGUCGUGCCGCAGCUCUUCACGCUCGAGAAGCGCAGCCUCUUCUCGCAUAUCCGCGGCGAGAUCACGCUCAAGAUUUACCGCGCCGGCGCCGGGGCUGGGGAGGUGGUCGCCAAGGGCAAGCAGGAGAAGCCGGCCAAGGCGGUGGUGAGUGGGCCCGAGGUCGUCGCCGCGCCGCCUGUGAAUGGGGGCAAGAAGCAUCACCACCAGCAGCAGCAGCAUCACCAGCAUCACCAGCACCAACAGCCGGUGGUGGCCGCGCGGCCGCAGCAGCCGCCGCAGCAGCCCCAGCAGCCCAUGGACGUCAUGCCGCAGCCGCAGCCGCAGCCGGCGGCCAUGAAGCCGGUCAUGCUCGCCGACCACUACCCCGUCCCGGCCAUGUUCCCCGGCGGGCCCGCGGACUUCUCCCUCAAGGAGACGCGGCCACACCUCGGCGGCGGGCUGACGGCCGACAAGGCGAGCGCCACCUACGACCUGGUCGAGCAGAUGCAGUACCUGUACGUGCGCGUCGUGCGCGCGCGCGGCGUGGCCACGCCCGGGGAGGCCGUGGCGGAGGUCAAGCUCGGGAACUACCGCGGCGUCACGCCGCCGGCCGCCGCGCACCAGUGGGACCAGGUCUUCGCCUUCUCCAAGGAGACCAUCCAGUCCUCGUUCGUCGAGGUCUUCGUGCGCGCACGCGGCAGCGACGACCACGUCG
This 58157-nucleotide long non-coding RNA is filed under the name Hordeum vulgare. Its description in RNAcentral is "long non-coding RNA (HVUL_LNC017097)". Lineage: Eukaryota; Viridiplantae; Streptophyta; Magnoliopsida; Poales; Poaceae. The record is from RNAcentral.